CAAAUAUUCAGGUGAACUAUUUUUUAGUGCGGUUUUAGAUUGAAUAAGAAAAUCUACAAAAUCAAUACCCAAGUGGUUAUGCCUAAUUUGACCCUACUCAUUCAAAUAUAGAUAUACAAUAGAUAGCUAACUGAAAGUAACAUGAUGCUUAGAUGCAUGUUCCUCACCCCAAGUGCUAAGAAACAUAAUACUAUUUGCUUGUUAGCCCGGUACAUUCCAUGGUUUCCUCGCAUACUAUUAUACUAAUUAAGGUAUGUCAUGAGAAACAACUUGGAAGAGCCACUUAAUUUUUGGUAAGAUAUACUAAAGUGCGCGCUAAGAAGGAAAAAAUUAAAUAUAAUAUAGAAAUUAAAUAAAUUUAACAACUGGGUCAGGUUGGCUUACAUCAAGUUAGGAUCCAGAUCCAAUCCACUUUCAUGCAGUUUCAUAUUUUUCCAAUUUACAUUAAUCAGUGUGGUUUGUAAAACAGUUUGAACCGGUACGGUUUGAAAAACAGUUUGAACUAGUGCGGUACAAUGCAGUACUGCAUCACCUGUGUGUCAUGACUGGCUAUGCCUAAUUUAAACGAAUCCUCUUCUCAUAUUGCCUAAUUUGACCUUACAAAACGUCGCUUGACAAGGAAAAACCAGCAACAAGCAUUGGCCAAACAACGAUCAAUGGCCCCCUUCUCACUCCACAACAACAACUCUUCAUGACUACGUUUUCUCAUAAUUGGUCCUCUCCCUGGUUCGUCGCUGACUUCGAGUUCGAUCGCCGCUAAGGGAGGCGCGCUCGAAGUCCCCCGACAUAGUCGAAUUGUGUUUUGCGUCGUCGUUUUAGAGCGAAUUUUGAAUCGGUUCUUUCAUUGAUAUGGAUCCUAAGUAUGACACAAAUGCAUCAAUCACAACUUUGGCCUUUUCAUCGCCAUUCCUAUCUCUUCCUCUUUAAUUUUGUAGCUUUGAUUUACAUUCUUCUUUGUAUGAUUGUUUGAUCACAGUUUCUUUAUAUGUGCAAGUUCAAGAAAUCAUUCUCUCCCAUUUACAAGAGAUAGUAUCUAGGUCUUCCCAGAUAGUGUAGUUUUGUGAUGUGUGUUUUGCUUUCUCUGUGUUCAAUUACAUGAUUCUCCGUUACAAUAUGUCUUUCAAUGAGUUAUGAGAUACUAUGUCUUUUAUUAUCGUCGAGUUUUGGCAUUGGCAGUGGUCCAGGUCGCCUGAGGGAACAAAACGGUUGCAAGCAGUUCUAAGCGAUUAUGUCACGUUAUCUCUUUGGUGGAGAAACAGUAAACCGACCUCUUUUUAUGGGAGUGGAAAAGUUGUUGGUUACAAACAGUUGUUGCGGUACUGUUGUCAUCUAAUCUAUUGCUCUAGGCUGGAGAGACAAAUGGGCUUUCGUAAUCUAGCCCAGUUUUAAUUAUGUGUGUUGAUGUUUGGUUAGUUCGGUCCACCUGAUCUUCGUUGGUGAGCGAAAUUCAUUUCAAAGUAUCAACGUCAUCUUUGAUUGUUUGAACUCAUCAAUAGAACAUUUCUCAAUUUCGUGUUUCGGCUUUGGUUGUGUUUCAUUGUUCUAGGUGGUGCUCUUUCCUCAGUUCGAGUUUUCCACUAGGAUUUAUCUGAGCAAGGUUUUAGUGAGGCCACCUUUGAGAAGAAAUGAAAACAUUUUCCACUUCUACUGGUUGUUGCAGUACAAUUGUCAUCUAAUCCAUUGCUCUGGGUUAGAGAAACAAAUGGGCUUUCGUAAUCUAGUCCAGUUUUAAACUUUUAAUUAAGUGUGUUGAUUUUUGGUUAGUCUGGUCCACCUAAUCUUUGUUGGCGAGCAGAAUUCAUUUCAGAGUCUUAACACCGUCUUUAAGCGUUUGAACUCAUCAAUAUAACAUUUCGUGUUUCGGCUUUGGUUGUGUUUCAUUGUUGUAGGUGGUUCUUUUUCCUCGGUUCGAGUUUUCCACUAGGAUUUAUUCGAGCAAAGUUCUAGUGAGGCCACAUUUGAGAAGAAGUGAAGACAUUUUCCACUUUUUCCGUUUUGGUUCUAAGUAUGAACUCUAGUGAAGGCUAUAGGUAGCGCAUGUGCGCCUUUGUUCUUUUCUUUCAUCAAUGGGUUUGGAUUGUCGUUAUUGACUCUCCCGUGCUUAUGUCUUGUAAAUCUUAUCUUGUGAUGUAAUAUUUUUUUCAUAUGAAUAAAGUUUCACACAUCCUUUAAAAAAAAAUUUAAUAAAUAAAAACCGUCCUACACUGUUGAGGAGAAAUUAGGUAACUAGUCUCGGUUUUCAGUUCUAUGCAUGGAGAAUCGGUUCCUACCAAAUGAACCGAGAAUUAUUGGGGACUUAGCUUUCAUACGGCAGGCUCUCACACACUUGAUUCUCUCAUCGAUAACCUAGUUUAACGAAUGUCUCCCGUUCAGCCUCCAUUCUCUUCACUCUUCACUCUUCAGCACUGUCUCAACGUUUUCACUCUUUUGAAUUACUGUCGGUGUUUCUGACACGACCCACCCGAAUUUCACCCUGAAACCCAGAGUAAGUCGUGCGGGGACCACCUCCAAGGAAAAUUUACUGAAAAGAUUAAGAAAAUCUCCCUUGCAGAUGGACAACCCUAACUCGAAAAUUUCAUAUUACACUCUUAAUUUAACGCUUCUGAAUAUCACAUAAUAUACAAAAUUCUAAAGUAUUCAGAGCUACUAAACACAAGCGGAAGCAAGAAAACACAAGUAGGUUGAACAGGUAACCUACUGAUGAAAACUGGCCGAAAAGCGGGUGACUAUGCCUCGUCUCCUACUAGAUCCAACCCGAACUUUGCAGACUGGGCAAUUUAAAACGAAGGGCCCAGGGGAAAACAUUUAAUAACGUUAGAGUGAGUGGACAAAAAUAAAUUAAUAAUUAAAAUAUUUAUGUUUCCCCAAAUUAAUUUCUAAGGAAAAAUCGAAUGCAUGCCGUAAGCNNNNNNNNNNNNNNNNNNNNNNNNNNNNNNNNNNNNNNNNNNNNNNNNNNNNNNNNNNNNNNNNNNNNNNNNNNNNNNNNNNNNNNNNNNNNNNNNNNNNNNNNNNNNNNNNNNNNNNNNNNNNNNNNNNNNNNNNNNNNNNNNNNNNNNNNNNNNNNNNNNNNNNNNNNNNNNNNNNNNNNNNNNNNNNNNNNNNNNNNNNNNNNNNNNNNNNNNNNNNNNNNNNNNNNNNNNNNNNNNNNNNNNNNNNNNNNNNNNNNNNNNNNNNNNNNNNNNNNNNNNNNNNNNNNNNNNNNNNNNNNNNNNNNNNNNNNNNNNNNNNNNNNNNNNNNNNNNNNNNNNNNNNNNNNNNNNNNNNNNNNNNNNNNNNNNNNNNNNNNNNNNNNNNNNNNNNNNNNNNNNNNNNNNNNNNNNNNNNNNNNNNNNNNNNNNNNNNNNNNNNNNNNNNNNNNNNNNNNNNNNNNNNNNNNNNNNNNNNNNNNNNNNNNNNNNNNNNNNNNNNNNNNNNNNNNNNNNNNNNNNNNNNNNNNNNNNNNNNNNNNNNNNNNNNNNNNNNNNNNNNNNNNNNNNNNNNNNNNNNNNNNNNNNNNNNNNNNNNNNNNNNNNNNNNNNNNNNNNNNNNNNNNNNNNNNNNNNNNNNNNNNNNNNNNNNNNNNNNNNNNNNNNNNNNNNNNNNNNNNNNNNNNNNNNNNNNNNNNNNNNNNNNNNNNNNNNNNNNNNNNNNNNNNNNNNNNNNNNNNNNNNNNNNNNNNNNNNNNNNNNNNNNNNNNNNNNNNNNNNNNNNNNNNNNNNNNNNNNNNNNNNNNNNNNNNNNNNNNNNNNNNNNNNNNNNNNNNNNNNNNNNNNNNNNNNNNNNNNNNNNNNNNNNNNNNNNNNNNNNNNNNNNNNNNNNNNNNNNNNNNNNNNNNNNNNNNNNNNNNNNNNNNNNNNNNNNNNNNNNNNNNNNNNNNNNNNNNNNNNNNNNNNNNNNNNNNNNNNNNNNNNNNNNNNNNNNNNNNNNNNNNNNNNNNNNNNNNNNNNNNNNNNNNNNNNNNNNNNNNNNNNNNNNNNNNNNNNNNNNNNNNNNNNNNNNNNNNNNNNNNNNNNNNNNNNNNNNNNNNNNNNNNNNNNNNNNNNNNNNNNNNNNNNNNNNNNNNNNNNNNNNNNNNNNNNNNNNNNNNNNNNNNNNNNNNNNNNNNNNNNNNNNNNNNNNNNNNNNNNNNNNNNNNNNNNNNNNNNNNNNNNNNNNNNNNNNNNNNNNNNNNNNNNNNNNNNNNNNNNNNNNNNNNNNNNNNNNNNNNNNNNNNNNNNNNNNNNNNNNNNNNNNNNNNNNNNNNNNNNNNNNNNNNNNNNNNNNNNNNNNNNNNNNNNNNNNNNNNNNNNNNNNACCGCUCACUCACGGCGGCGCUAGGGGGGCUGCUACCGGUCUAGAAAUGUUGCUGGGAGGGAGACCGAUCGAUUGGGACCGGUGUGGCGGUCUGGGGCGGCCGGACGGCGGCGGACGGCGGUGGAGAACUUUCCGGGUGGAGAAAGGAGAAAACCGGGUGGGAAGAGAAGAAAAAUCGGGAGGGAGAGAGAGAGAAAGGAAGAAGAAAUGGGUUGGGCUCGGCCCAGCCGACCCAACUCUCCUUUUAACCCAAAAUUCUAAAAUUCAACACCCCGAAAAAUAAUACCCGAAUAAAAAUUACCUUUUACUAGCUAAAAUUUACUAUUUUUACCGUCGUCGUAUUUUCUUCAUACUAAUAAUCCUCCGCACAUAAUCGUCCCCGAAACCCCUCUAGGGACCAAUUAAACUAUUUACUCAAUGACGGAGACGGUAAAAUUCUUAUUAUAAUCACGCUAGUAAAUAAGGUAAAAAUAUAAGGGUCGGGAUGUGACAGUUUCAUCAUUCAUACGUUUCACGAAUGGCUCGAACACAGCUUGGCCCCCAUUGAUUCCUGUUUCUUCGGCUUCUUUCUCUUCAGCUUCUAGGACCCCUUAUACGGUCAGUUCUUCUUUUCCUUCUUCUGAAUUCUAUUACUUGUUUUUUCUUUCUUAAGUUUGUUUUCAGUCUUCUGCAUACUUUUCAGUUUGCUUUUAAAUUUUCUGUUCUGGGUUUGAUGAUGAAAACGUGCUCUCUUCUUUUAUGCUUAUUAAUACGUAUUGCCAAUUUCUACCUACAUUGCUUUGUGUCUUUUUGAAAAGUUAUGGAAUCAACCGGCAGUACGAGUUCGCAAAGUUCAAGCUCUGUUCCAAAUGUUCCAGACCCAGAUCAUUCGGAGCAAUCUUUACACCCUACAUUACGGGUUGCACCUGAACCAGAACAUGUAGGCAACUCAUCCUAUAAGAGACAGAAAAGAUGUCUAGCUUGGCCACAUUACACAAUGAUGAAGAAGGAGGAUGGUGCGACUGAUAGGACUGAUAAAGCCAUCUGCAACUAUUGUGGUACCUCCAUAAGUUGUGACUCUAGGAGGAACGGAACCAGUGGCCUCACGAAACAUCUUAAGAAGGUCUGCAAGAAAUUCCCGUUAUGUGAGAAAAUCCCAUUGCGUGAGAAACGUGACAAAAGGCAAAGGACCUUGGCUUUUCAGAAGACUGAAGAUGGACUUCAGUUGGUGCCAUUUGAAUCUAAUCAAGACAAAAGGCAGAGGAACUUGUACUCCAAAAAUGGUUGAAGCAUUGGUUUGAUGUUGUGAUUGGUCAAGGAAUGAAGGUUUUAUAAUGAGUUGGAGGAAGUUGAGCGUGGUAAAAAAUCUAAGCUUCGGUCAAAGGCAUUUUAUCUUUGGUUUAUUCUGUCAACUUAUUUGUGUUCUAAUAAUUAUGUUACUUUUUUAUGCUUUCAGAAAUAGAGAAACUUCAAUUGACAGAUCACCUAAGCCAAUCACAGCAGUUAGCUAAUGUACAAAUUCAGGUAUGCUUCCGUAACCAAGUGAUUUUUUUUUUGUGGUAGACAAUUGAUAGCCAUGGCAUCAGAGAUGAGCUAGGGCUUGAAGAAAAGAGAAUAGAGUUUGAGAGAGAAACGAACAGAGAGGAAAAUCUCAGAAAUGAAAAAUGCUUCAAUACAGAAAGCUUGGUUACAAAGCAAAGUGUCUUCAGCUAUUAUACAAGAAAGGAGCUAACCAACUAACUAAAAAGAACAGCUGGAUUUUGCUGUAAUAAGAGCCACGUGACUCACUCAGAUUUGAGGCUUCUAGAAUCUGUUAAAAUUAACUAACAGCUAGGUCAACAUAUUUUUACAGUAUAGUCAACACCCUCCCUCAAGCUCAGCUAGGGAUACUAGCCUGAGAUUGAUACAGUGAGUUUUGAAAAUAGGAGAUGCCAAACCCUUUGUCAAAAUGGCAGCAGUCUGUUCUGUGGUGGAAAUAUACUCAAGACGAAGAUCAUUGCGCUGAACCCUUUCACGAACAAAAUGAAAGUCAUUGUCUAAAUGCUUGAUCUUGGAGUGAAAGACUGGAUUAGAAGCUAAUGCCAAAGCAGACAAGUUGUCACAUUUAAGCAAAGGGGCACAGGGAAUUUGAAUCUUCAAAUCACAAAGAAGAUGUCUGAUCCAACUAAUCUCAGCUGCAGUAUUUGCAAGACUCNNNNNNNNNNNNNNNNNNNNNNNNNNNNNNNNNNNNNNNNNNNNNNNNNNNNNNNNNNNNNNNNNNNNNNNNNNNNNNNNNNNNNNNNNNNNNNNNNNNNNNNNNNNNNNNNNNNNNNNNNNNNNNNNNNNNNNNNNNNNNNNNNNNNNNNNNNNNNNNNNNNNNNNNNNNNNNNNNNNNNNNNNNNNNNNNNNNNNNNNNNNNNNNNNNNNNNNNNNNNNNNNNNNNNNNNNNNNNNNNNNNNNNNNNNNNNNNNNNNNNNNNNNNNNNNNNNNNNNNNNNNNNNNNNNNNNNNNNNNNNNNNNNNNNNNNNNNNNNNNNNNNNNNNNNNNNNNNNNNNNNNNNNNNNNNNNNNNNNNNNNNNNNNNNNNNNNNNNNNNNNNNNNNNNNNNNNNNNNNNNNNNNNNNNNNNNNNNNNNNNNNNNNNNNNNNNNNNNNNNNNNNNNNNNNNNNNNNNNNNNNNNNNNNNNNNNNNNNNNNNNNNNNNNNNNNNNNNNNNNNNNNNNNNNNNNNNNNNNNNNNNNNNNNNNNNNNNNNNNNNNNNNNNNNNNNNNNNNNNNNNNNNNNNNNNNNNNNNNNNNNNNNNNNNNNNNNNNNNNNNNNNNNNNNNNNNNNNNNNNNNNNNNNNNNNNNNNNNNNNNNNNNNNNNNNNNNNNNNNNNNNNNNNNNNNNNNNNNNNNNNNNNNNNNNNNNNNNNNNNNNNNNNNNNNNNNNNNNNNNNNNNNNNNNNNNNNNNNNNNNNNNNNNNNNNNNNNNNNNNNNNNNNNNNNNNNNNNNNNNNNNNNNNNNNNNNNNNNNNNNNNNNNNNNNNNNNNNNNNNNNNNNNNNNNNNNNNNNNNNNNNNNNNNNNNNNNNNNNNNNNNNNNNNNNNNNNNNNNNNNNNNNNNNNNNNNNNNNNNNNNNNNNNNNNNNNNNNNNNNNNNNNNNNNNNNNNNNNNNNNNNNNNNNNNNNNNNNNNNNNNNNNNNNNNNNNNNNNNNNNNNNNNNNNNNNNNNNNNNNNNNNNNNNNNNNNNNNNNNNNNNNNNNNNNNNNNNNNNNNNNNNNNNNNNNNNNNNNNNNNNNNNNNNNNNNNNNNNNNNNNNNNNNNNNNNNNNNNNNNNNNNNNNNNNNNNNNNNNNNNNNNNNNNNNNNNNNNNNNNNNNNNNNNNNNNNNNNNNNNNNNNNNNNNNNNNNNNACAAGANGGAAAGAAAGUAGCAGAAUCAAUGGGAGAAGACACUGAAAACUUGGAAUUAUGAAACGGAAAAACACUUUCAUCAUGAAUCACAUGUCGUGACAUCCAAAGUUUAUUUUGAGAAAUACUGUAACAAAAGACUCCCUUAUAACCUAAGACAUAACCCAAGAAGACACACUGUGUUGUUCUAGGGUCCAAUUUAUCAUGAGCAUAUGGUCUGAGAUAUGGAUAACAUGAGGAGCCAAAGGUUUUCAGUUGAGUAAUAUCUGGAGGUUUAUGAAAUAAAAGCUCAUAUGGAGAGGACAUGUUCAAAGAUUUGCUAGGCAUUCUGUUAAUGAGAUAACAUGAAUGAGCAACACUAUGGAACCAAAAAUUUUUAGGAACACCAGCUGUAGACAUUAAAGAGAUUGCAGUCUCUAUGAUAUGUCUGUUCUUCCUCUCAGCAACUCCAUUUUGCUGAGGAGUAUAAGGACAGGAAAUUUGAUGUAAAAUACCUUCUGAAGAAAGAAAAUUAUGGAAGGCCUUACUAUUAAAUUCACCACCUCCAUCCGUCUAAAACAAUUUGAUUGUUGAAUGGAAUUGAUUUUCAACAAAAGCACAGAAAUGAAUAAAUUUGGCAAGAACAUCAGAUUUAUUGAUAAGUGGAAAAAUCCACAUAAACUUCGUACAAUCAUCUAUGAAAGUAAGAUAGUACUUGUGUCCCUCAAUGGACAGACAAGGAGCUGGUCCCCAUACAUCAGAAUGUACCUUAGUAAAGGGUACAGAAGUUUUUGUUUCAGAAUCAGAAAAUGGGAGUCUGUGCAUCUUGCCUUCUAAACAAUAAGAACACACUGAACUGGAAACGGAACUAGGAAUUUUUAUUUGUGACCUAGAUAACAUUUGGGACAUAAUAGGUUGAGAAGGAUGACCUAAUCUUUGAUGCCAUACUGGAAGGGAAGAAGCUGAACUGACAAAAGCAGAUGGAUAAGGUUGAGAAAUGGAAGAUACUGGUGGAGACUUGAAUAGGAACAAUCCUUCCUCACUACUCUUUCCUUGGUAAAGCACUGUUUUGGAUGCCUUGUCCUGCACAGCAAUAUUAGCUUCAUCAAGAGUUAUAAAGCAAUCAUUAUCUCUACAUAACUUGGUAAAAGAUAACAAGUUGAUUGCUAAAUCAGGAACAUGCAGAACUUGCUUCAACUGUAAGAUAUGAUUAGCAAGUUUUAUAUAACCAGAACCAGUGUGUGCUACACUUAAACCUGCACCAUUACCAAUGGUUAUCUUGUUGUCAGAAGCAUAUGGCUGAGCAAUGGUGAGNNNNNNNNNNNNNNNNNNNNCAACUUUACUAUCCCAUGCUUUCUCAUUACUAUCUCUGUCUCCAUUCCUUGUACCAUCUCCUCUAGCCACCAUAGCACUCAUAUUAGGUAGAAGAGAAAAACUUCCUUCAAUCCUCCUUUCUGCUGCAAGUAAUUGAGACCUCAAAUCUCUUAGAGAAAUAGGUGUUUCUCUUCCUUCAAUCACAGUCCUGACAGUUGAAUACUCAUCAGGAAGGCCAUUCAAAACAACAAUGAUGAUAUCUUCAUCUGGAAUAGACACUCCCACAGACAAAAGCUGAUCCCUAGCAUUCUUUACUCUCUGCAAAUACUUCUCAAUUGUUUCACUUCCCUUGCGAAGAGUCUGCAACUCAGUUUUAAGUUGCAUAAUGCUCACUCUUGAUACAGCAGAAAAGCGUUCCUGAAGAGCUAUCCAAGCUUGUCUGGAAGUUUUACACCCAAUGAUUACAUCAACAAUAUCUUCAUCUAAAGUAGCCAUCAGCAGACUGAUUAAUGCCAUAUCUGUUUGUUUCCAAGCUUUGUACGCUGCAGUCUCUUCAUUAGUAACUUCUCCUUCAGAGGUAAGGGCAUACCUAGGAGGAGCUACUUCUGUGGCAUCAUAGAAUCCAAACAAUCCAUUUCCAGCAAGAGUGGACUGGAAUUGAAAACUCCAUUUGAUGAAGUUUCUUUCUCCAAGUCUCAUAGUAAUGAUACUUAACAAAGAGUGAACAUCUCUGUGAGAAAGGCUAGGAGUAGCAACAGUAGAAUUUGUUGUAUCACCUUGAGGAGCCAUUUAAAAUCAGUCUGCAAGUGUUUCACUACCAAAUUAAUUUCUGAGAUUUACUAGUUUUCACAAACCACCACAAAGAGGCCACUACAAAUUUUUCUUCACUAUAUGCACACUUCAGUUUAGUAUAUGUGCUCAAAUCAACUGCUCUCAACCUUAUAAUUGUUCUCAACCUUCUACAUACACCAUACAGCUAUAAAGAUCACACCUUUACUCUAUUUUGGCUCAAUCACUUAGAAAUCUGCUCAAAAUUUACUCCGAUUUACUCUAUUUGCUCAAGAAUUACUCAAGAACUCAAAUACACAAAGAUUUCACUCUGAUUUUGGCUCAAUCACUUAGAAAUCUGCUCAAGAUUUACUCUAGAUGCUCCAAAUUUACUCCGAUUUACUCUACUUCCUCAAGAAUUACUCAUAACUCAAACAAUCACAGAUUCCACAAAGAUUUACGCACACAAGUAUAUCAUAUAUCUUCAAAGAUCUAGAACAAGAGAAGAUCACCUGAAGAAAGACGAGUGAGCCUUAGAAGCUUCAAAACACACUGAAGGAGAGCAGAUCACGCUUUGAUGAAAAAAAAAAUCAAAGCCUCAAAUCCAAGAUCCAAAGCAAAUCGCAGUAGAGCCAAAGCAAGAUCUGAAGAUACAAACGAAAGCACAAUUAGAAAUGAGUGCGGAAGCAUGAAUCACAGGUCCUGGAUCUAUGGACGCUCUGAUACCAUGAUAGCCAUGGCAUCAGAGAUGAGCUAGGGCUUGAAGAAAAGAGAAUAGAGUUUGAGAGAGAAACGAACAGAGAGGAAAAUCUCAGAAAUGAAAAAUGCUUCAAUACAGAAAGCUUGGUUACAAAGCAAAGUGUCUUUAGCUAUUAUACAAGAAAGGAGCUAACCAACUAACUAAAAAGAACAGCUGGAUUUUGCUGUAAUAAGAGCCACGUGACUCGCACAGAUUUGAGGCUUCUAGAAUCUGUUAAAAUUAACUAACAGCUAGGUCAACAUAUUUUUACAGUAUAGUCAACAACAAUGUCCUAAUUACUGAUGUGUUUCUUUUUAUUUCAAUAAUGAUUGCCAAGUUAAAUAUGAUAACCAAGCUGAUCAUUAUAUUUUCCUGGCCAAAGUUUCCAUGUAAGGACUAUGUACUUGAUUACGAACCAGUGCAAGGAAACUAUGUGCAAUGUGGAUGUGCUAUGAAAUUAUUAAGUUCGUUAAAAGAUUGGCCUUUGGAUGUACUGGUUUUCUGUUUCAAUGACUAAAUAUAUGCGGUAACCUGCUCUGAACAGUUGGGAAUGGCCAAUGCACCUUGAAACUUAUGUGUAGCUUUGAUCAAAAACAGUACCUGCAAAAUAUAAGAAGCUGCAACUUUGAUUAUAGGCUGUUUGUUACAGCAUUACAUCUUUGAUUAGCUGUUAUGGGAACUGAAUUAUGUCCUUUCUUGUCCUCAUCGCAGUUGCUAGAGCUGAUGACCAAUCUCAGGAGGUGCCCAUUAAUCUGUAGGCUGGUUGCUUAUUAUUAGUUGUGUUGUAACUUGAUGUAUACUUAUUAUGCAUUUGCUGGAGGUAACUUGUUUGAAGAAUUGAACUUGAAGUUUACUUUUCUAUUUUGUUCCUUUUAUUUUCUUUGGUAAACUGUGAAAACUGAUUACAUCAGUUGUUACUUAAACAGAAAUGGCAUUGAAAUCGACCGAGGUAGUUCGACUAAUGAGAUUGAUUCCCAUUUAUUUUUUUUCAGUUUCAGUUUUGAAAAAUAGAAAAUCGAAGUCUUCGGUUCAGUUAUCGGUUAGUGCCCUACUACCGAAUUGAUGACAUCGAGUCUUGAUUGUGUAUAUCAAGCAUGAACAUAUACGAUUAACAGUAAUGUUCCAACAAACCAUCACAGCUGGUUGAGUUGGUAAGAGCCUAGAUGUGGAACCCCCAUAUCCAGGUUCGAAUCCUCAAGGUUCCACACCUAGGUUCGAAUCCCAACCGACAUUAAUUGGAGUUAAAUCCUAAUUUAUUCUUGGUGGCCAGGGGGAGGAAGCGUUCUGACAUGAUCUCUCAUGACGGAUUAGUCUCUGGGUCUAAAAAGUCUAUGAGGAUACCGUCGUUCAUACUCUCAAAAAAAAAAAAAAAAAAAAAAACCGGUAAAUGAUCCAACAUGACUAAAGAUUUUUGUGGUCGCAUUUCUUUUACUUUUCUAGGUUGUAGUUAUAGCCUAUAAUUCCCUUCUACUACUUUCCUUCCCAACCAUAACCGCAAACACUCACUUUCUGCACGGUUAAAAUGCCAUUUUCUGAUUCUGAUAUCCAAGAAAAGUUCCACAAAUAAAAACCAAAGGCAGAUUUUGUCCAAAAGAAGAAAAUCAACAAAGGAACACAUUAUAAGCUAGAGUGUGAGGUAAAUUCUACCCGGUACACAAAAAUAUAAAAGAAAUAUAGUCUAAUCUGCCACUUAUUCCAAUUAAAUCACAUUUCAUACUCUCAGUAACAGUGAUUUCUAAAACAAAUGAGUUUAUACAACACUUAAUAGAACGUAAGGUAGACAAACAAUACCAAGCAAACUCAAAGUCCACACUCCAACAUUACAUACAAUUCCUAAAAAUAAUCCAUUGGACGUAAAAUUUGUUGUUCUCAAGAGAUGAUCCAUAAUUCAAAAGGCACCUAACCAAUGAAGGAAUAUAUGCUUCUCCACCGCACUUCAUUCUCCUUCACUUAGAAUGGGGACUAUUAGUGGUUUCAUUUGUGCAAUAUAUACAAUCGCCCACCUGAAAAAGUAACAAAAAAAAAUAAAACAUCUUAUGUAUGAUGACCAGAAAGAUUGGGAAGAAACAAAAAAACACACACACACACACACACGCACAAAGACACUGAAAGAUCAAUUGCAAAGGCUCAUGCAGUAUCAGAGCAAACAUAAACAACAUAUAGAGGCACCAAUUCAUUAUAAUUCUAUAUUGUAGUUAAGUGCUCAUAUGGAAGGAUGACUCUAUUAUGCAUUACAAAUUUCAUCAAGAACAAAAAAUGGACUUUCCUUUAGCCCUGAAACAUACGUGCAGUUACCAUAUGCAGGACAACUAAGGCAGUUACUUGGUGAUGUCAAUUGAAAUGGAAGGAGACUCUUCUUCCUGCUUUGAAUGAUGACAGUGCAACUCAAUACUACAAGGCCACAUAUUCUCAUUACCAGUAGUAGGUUGGUUGAUAAAUGAGCUUGUUAUGAACCCUCUAGGGCCGAAGUGGAUUGGUCAACUUAAAAGCUUGAUAAAUGAGCUCUACAAUAUUAUUCAAUUUCUCCUCUACUCAUACAAACAAUUUGUUGACAAUUUAGUUGAGGAUAAAACGAAAAUUCAACUAAUUAAGCAAAAAUGGUGGAUCUGGAAUGAGAUCCUUUUCUCUAGAUUGAAACACUGAAGGCUUAAAACACAGCUUACACGGAAGAGAGCAAAUAUCUAACCCGAAAAUUCUCAUUCACACAUUACAAUAUAAAUGUGGCAAAACAUACUAUGAUACACAACCAAUUGAUUCAUCCUAAAUCUCAUUAUUCAUAUGAAACGAAAAAAUAUAUAAACAUGAUAGAGAAGAACUUACAUCAUCCAACAGCAGACUGUAGCUGUAAUAACUAACGUUAAAUGGAAUCUGCACAAGAAAAUACAGUUCAGUACUUUCCACAUGGCAAAAGAAGGAUAUCACACUCUCGACAAGGAUGCAUCACACUGAAACUAUAUAUUAUUUUUAUACACUGAUUCAAUAACUGAAUCAAUCAAUCCAUAAUCUCAACCUACUUUACUGUUAGAUGAACACACAUGACUGGACUGGCAAUCUAUGAUUGAUGGUCUUAAUAGAUACAUAUAAACCGCCAUGUCAAGGACGCAAUCAAAUCAAGCAUAUCAAUAACCACAGUACCAACUAAACAGAAAGUUCCCAAUAUAAAAAAAGGCCAAGGCUAACAUAAUUUAAGAGAACUGCAUAGUAUGAAGAGCUUAACUUGAGCCAAUUUACUUGAAACAUAAAAGCUCCCACUGAUUCUAUAUUGAAAUCCAUGAGAAAAUGACACGAAUCGGAUCCUAAGCUCCCCAAACAACAUAACCUUAUGGCAUUAUUGUGACCUCCAACACCAUCAAAUUUAGCAGAAUUGAAAAAUGCAGAGAGAGAUAAGACUUACAGAUUAGUAGAGGGUCCUCUGUUGCAGCAAAUUCUGGUACACAGAGACGCAAUGAUCCCAACCACAACGAAAAUCAAGCUCGUCACGAAAAACCCCAUGCUGGAUUUCUCUCCGAUCUUGAUCCACACAAUCAGGAACACCUCAGCUUCUGCAAUUCAAUACAAAAACACCAUUUAAAUUCUAUUUAGGGUUUAAACCUUCGAAGAUCAGGAAAAUUCAGAAUGAAACAGAAAUUAUUGAAACCUACCGUUCUGGAGAAAUUGUGGGAAAUAAGAUUAAAAGAAGAGAAAAAUGAUGGGGAUCUUGAUCGAUUUCGAUUUUGAGUUUUGUGCAAUUUGCUUCGUCUUGGAUUCAUUCCAAGGAUAUAAGGAAAAAACCAAUUCGGACCUUGAUUUAGAGCAAACAUCAUUUGGACCAAAACUGGGCUUGUGUGUAUGGAUAGUUUGCAGAAAGCCCAAAUUCAAAAAUCCGCGAUAAUUGCAACUUUUUUUUUUUCUUUCCCUUUUGGGUUCCUAGAAUAUUAGGCAGUAGGGAUACGGAUGGCCAUGGUGAGGGUAGAAUCAAGGAAUCAAAGCUCAUACCCUGUUUUAUUAGUGAGAUUUGAACUCAUGAUCUUAACAUUGUCGGUUAGACUACCUAACCAACAAAGUCAUGUCUUACCGACAAAUGCCCAUAUCCUGUUUCAUUCUCAAUCCUAGCUGCAGGGUGGUUCUAGAUUUUUAGUUACACUUCCCAAUUUGCUCUAAAGUUUUGUAAACUUUUAUUUCCUUUUAGGAGUAAAAUUGGAAACUCAGUCGGCCACUACUCGUUUACCAUUGCGUCACAAUCGGCAUGUUGCAACCGAAAACUCUCGAAACAAAAACAGCAGAAUAUAUGUUGAAUAGCUAUUAAGGCCGCACUCACCCUAAGAGCAAUUGCACCCGUAGGCAAAAAACAAUUGCUGAUUUGCCAAUUGAAUUGCCCUUGUCAAUUCACUAUUCAUCCCAAAUUGGCAAUUGCCUCUCCUUUAUCAAUGCACCCGUUGAAAGCAAUUUACAUGCUAAUUCAUUAUUACAUUUUAGUUUUGAAUAACUUAUUAAUUGAAAAUGUUAAACUUAUAAUUUGAUUAAUUAAUAAUGUGAUUAAUUGUACAACAAUCAUUAUUGUUAAACUAAUUAUUAAUUAAUGUUUUAAUAAAUUAUCAAAUAUCUUAUGAUUUCUGAUAAGAUAUUCGUCCAAUCUUCACUUGACACGUGUCAACUUCAGAUACCAUUAUCUUCUAGAAAUAUAUCUCGGAUAUUUGAUAAGAUUUUCAACCUAUCUUUACGUGACACGUGUACUUAUCCGAAACUUUUUAUCUCCAAAAUUGUUGAUAAAUAACCUUCAAACUUCAUUCUCUACUCACACAUUUCCUCUCAUUCUACCUUCAUCUCUUUUGAAAUAUCAUCACUCAUCCUAUUCUCCUCUUUUUAAUUGAUGAAUUAAACAAGUGGUUGUUAGAAAAGGGAUCGUGAAAAUAUGGAGGUGCUGGAGCGAAUUCAAGCUACAAACUCUCAAGCGGUUUCAUUAGUGGCGUAAUAUCAACUAGAACAGACACCUAGAGGGCGUGGUUCAUGACUUGGUCGUGUGCCAAAUGUGGAGAGACACAAAGAAGUCUGAGGUCAAUUCCUCCUGCAUGAUUAUUUUGUUGAACGUCCAGUGUAUGACGAAGCAAGCUUUCGGAGGCGGUACCGAAUGCAUAAACAUGUCUUCCAACGCAUAAUGGAGGAUCUUUGCAACCACGACAGUUUUUGGAGGCAAAAAUCAGAUGCCACUGGAAAAAUGGGAUUGCUUCCUGAACAAAAGAUGACAGGUGCCCUGAGAAUGCUCGCGUACGGUGCAGCUGCUGAUCAAUGUGAUGAAAUCACUCAAAUGGGAACUUCUACAACACUGAAAUGUCUGAAGAAAUUUUACAGACAUAUCGAGUUUCUGUACGGUGAGUGGUUCAUUCGUCCUCCCAAUUAUUCUGACUUAUAUAGGCUUCUCAAUAGAGGACAACGUCGCAGGUUUCCAGGCAUGAUUGAGAGCAUCGAUUGUAUGCAUUGGGAGUGGAAAAACUGCCCAACCGGCUGGGUUGGAGCUUACUCGGGUCGUAAGGGAAGACCAACUAUAAUUUUGGAAGCAGUGGCGUCUUACGACACACAUAUAUGGCACGCUUUCUUCGGAACUCCUAGAGCAAAAAAUGACCUCAACGUUCUUGGUGCGUCUAAUGUGUUCGAGCAUGUCAUAGGUGGAACUGCUCCUCAGGUUCAAUUUGAGGUCAACAACAAAAGGUACACCAAUGGUUACUACCUUGCUGAUGGAAUAAUUUACCCUAAGUGGUCUAUUUUUGUCAAAACAAUAUCGAACCCCAAAACAAAACAGGAGAAGCACUUUUGAUAAAAAACAAGAGGCUUACCGCAAAGAUGUGGAGCGAUGCUUUGGUAUCAUCCAAUCACGAUGGGCGAUAUUGCGCCACAGUGCUAGAUUGUUUAAACUAGAAGAUCUUCGAGCCAUCAUGAUAAGUCGUAUCAUUUUUCAUAACAUGAUUGUGGAGGAUGAAUUUGUCGAAGAAGAAUUUGUGGAGCCUGAAGAAUUUGUGAAAAUGUGUGAGUAGAGAAUGAAGUCUGAAGGUUAUUUAUCAACAAUUUUGGAGAUAAAAACUUUCGGAUAAGUACACAUGUCACGUAAAGAUAGGUUGGAAAUCUUAUCAAAUAUCCGAGAUAUAUUUCUAAAAGAUAAUGGUAUCUGAAGUUGACACGUGUCAAGUGAAGAUUGGACGAAUAUCUUAUCAGAAAUCAUAAGAUAUUUGACAAUUUAUUAAAACAUUAAUUAAUAAUCUGUUUAACAAUAAUGAUUGUUGUACGAUUAAUCAAAUUAUUAAUUAAUCAAAUUAUAAGUUUAACAUUUUCAAUUAAUAAGUUAUUCAAAAUUAAAAUGUAAUAAUGAAUUAACAUGUAAAUUGUCUUCAACAUGUGCAUUGAUAAAGAAGAGGCAAUUGCCAAUUUGGGAUGAAUAGUGAAUUGACAAGGGCAAUUCAAUUGGCAAAUCAGCAAUUGCCUUUUGCCUACGGGUGCAAUUGCUCUAAAAGAACUGAUAUGUGAUCGAACCGGCUUGGAGGUAGGUUUACUACCUCCGAAUGUUCAAAGAGAUCCUGCCAAGAACGCGUACCAAAUGCUGGGUCGACUUUUGUAUUCGGAUUGCUCCACGUAAAGGGACUUCCUCUAAAGUCCAGCUUAAUGAGUUCAUGGUGUAUAACGACAUCACGAAACCCUUGCAUCUGUUUCUCCAAUCGAACCCUCCACCCUGUUUUCUUUCCGGCAAGCAUUAUCUCAUUGAAGUGAAUGAAGUCUCCUAUUACCACAGUGCACCCAGUGGAAUCGAGUCCACAACAUCCAGUUCAUGUAACAAAUGCCAAGUACGCCCUUCAGUUUGUGUAAAGCGCCAUGAUGGCGUCACUCCUCCCACAUUCACAUCGAUGUAACAUGUACCAUUUGAUCGAAACUGAAUAUCAUUCCAAUUUUUCGUUUCUUCUCAAAAAACAGGAAAAAAAAACUAUCAUGCCAAAACAGCCCUAGACCCCCUCAUUGAUCUAUGAUUAAAACCCACGAGCAUGAGGCCUAAAGCACGACGGAGUCGAUUAAAAUCUUCAUGUAAAUGGAUUUUUGUCUCGAAAAGAAAUAGAAUGAAAGACAUCACAUAAUCUAGCAUGGUUCACAUUUAAAAUUAAUUGACGAUAAAUAAGUGACUCGUAUCUUUUUGUAUAACAAGUGGGAAGAUUUUUGAGAGGGUAAAUAGUCACUUUACUAUCUUCUUCAUGUAAUGCUGGUAAUAGCCACUUCUCAAAGAGCACAUCAAUUUUUAACGUAAUACCAAACGACUUGCUGUAAGCUGAGUGGAUUUAAUACGGGCAAUACGGCCAACCACUCGCUCUGUGUUUGAAAAUGACAUGAGAGGAAAUGCCUCUUUAAUCUUUAUCUAUGUAACCCUAGCUAGCCUCAGUCAGCUGAUCAUUGAGUCGGUGAGCUUCAAGGAAUGCCAACUUACACUGAAAAUUAAAGCAAAUCCAAUUGAAAGCAAACUGCUGGUUGUUAAAUUGGGACCUAUCGAAUCAAUUAAUGUGUGGGUGCUUGUUCAUAAACAUAUGACGUCACGAGGGACGUAUAUGUGCUUGGAUCGAUAUGCAUAUUGGUCUGGAAUCAUCUAAUUAUCAGAGUGUGAAAGCAAAGCUCUGUUCAAACUCGAUCUGCGGCGACAUAUAUAUAUACAGAUAUACUAAUAGCUAGCUAGUAAGAAAACGACCAAAACUUCCCUAAUCUACUCGAUCACAUGCAAUGUCGAUCAUCUCAAAGCUAGAUGGUAUGUGCCUGAUUCUCUUGAUUGAUUUUGAACCAAUUUGCCACACGUUCGACUUUACUUCAUGACUUGUGUUUGUAUUGACUAGUGAGCUCUUUGAAAGACCGAUGUCAAUUUACUAUCCUCUCAUGUAUGCACGACGAGUCUAUGAAUAUAUAAAAAGCCGAUGCGGUUGUCUUUUAGAUUAAUUUACACGUAAAUUUUACAGUGAAUUCGACAUUUGCAUUUGUAUUCUUGUCCCCAAUUUUCACCCGCGUGAAGGACUUACAGCUAGAAAUAAGAUUUUAGGGUAAAAAUAAUAUAUCUACAAGUCAAGUUGUACUCUUCACUAGCGCUGGGCACGGGACGGGAUAGGCCGGGAUUUGGUGAAUCCCGUCCCGUCCGGAAAAUAAAAAAACGGGACAGAACGGGACGGGAAUGCAUUUUUAGAAAUCUAUCUCGUACGUCCCGAUCCCGUUUGGAAUCGGGAUGGGACCAUGAUAGGAUCGGGAUCCCGAAAAAUUAACCCUAAAAAAAAAAACCUGAAAAUAAUCAAAAUAUCUAUCUCUGAAUUAUUAUCUUUCUCAUCUUUGUCAUCAAUUUCAGCAUAGAAGAAGUGGGAGAAGGAGGAGAAGUGGGAGAAGAUGAAGAUGGGGUCUUUGCGGAAGGAGCCGAAGAGGUUGUCGACGGAGCGGGAAUUGUAGUCGUCGCCAUAAAAGAAGUCGUCGUCGAGGGUUCCGAUACGGGUGAGGUGGAGGAAGGGGCGGUGGCGGCGAGAUCGAGACGGGAGAGGAGGAGGAGUCUGUGGGGGUGGGGGAAGAUCAGGAGGCGGCGAGGUUGAGGUGGGAGAGGAGGAGGAGUCUACGGGGGUGGGGGAAGAUCGGGAGGCGGCGAGGUCGAGGCGGGAGAGGAGGAGGAGUCUGCGGGGGUGGGGGAAGAUCUGGAGGCGACGAGGUCGAGACGGGAGAGGAGGGACUUGAGGGAGGGGUCGCGGUCGAUAAAGGCGGUGAGGAGGUGGGUGCCAUUUUCGAUGACGGUGCGGAAGGAGAAGAUGAGGAGGGAGAGGAAGAGGAAGGUGAGGAGGUUGGAGGUGGAGAAGGAGAAGGUUUUGUUUGUUAGGGGGUUUCUGUUUGUUUUUUGUUUUGUUUUGGGUGGAUCUGUGUGGGAGAGAGAGAGGAGAAGAGCAUGUGUGUGUUGUAGUAGGGGGAUGGUUUUGUAUAUAAAAUGAUUAAAAUCAAGUAUUUAAUGAAGUAUAAAGUGUAGAGAAAGAGAGAUAGCAAGAAAAUCAUCAUCUUAUUCAUUGAUAGGAGCCCUUUAUAUAGGGAAUUACACAAUACCAAUAUGGUAAGGAUAUGAAUACAUAGAUCUAGUCUAACUACAUAUCCUAUUGGCAUAAGUCCAAGGCACACAUAAAGAAUAUCUACAAAGAUACAGAAUAUCUUAGAACACUCCCCCUUGUGCCGCGCGCUGAUAUGCCGAUGGUGCUGAUCUGUUGCCUCGUCAAAAACCUCGUCAAGUCACAAAAACCCUGUGGGAGAAAAACUGAACCUUGAUCGUAGGAGAAAAAGAGUACAACGCACCCUUCACAUUUGAUAGUGACAUGUAUGUAUGUGCUAGACUCCCCCUGAAGUUCGCACCUCCCCCUGAUCUUUACAUCAAUCAUAGGGCUCUUCCUGAUUCUUACUAAUCACGAAAAUUUCAACAACUUAGCAUGUCAAUGCUCUUUAACAUGUCUGCAAAUGUGGCAUUAGGCAAUGAUUAACUAAAUCAUGCCGUAUUGUCCUCAAAUGAUCUUUUACACUUAGAUCUUGAGGAGAAGGCCGCUUGUGAACUCAAAACAUAAGUUCGUGCAGGAAAUUAGAUUUCCGCGCAGCAUGACCUUCAGUUACUAGAACAAUCGUAACUUCCUCUAGGAAAUACAUAUGAACGAACCGUAAAUGGUUUUGGAAACUAGACUCAUUUAGUUUUCCAACUGUAUAUUACACACGUUCUGGUUCGUCAGGAGCUAUUCACAAAGUCCCGUCGAGGUUGACUGUUUUGCCAAAAUCAGAUUCUCGGACAGAUUCGUCCUACUUUACGAAAACGGCCAUAACUCACUCAAUAUGAUAGGUAUGAACAAAUGGUUGGUGUCCCUGGAAAGUAGACACAUAGACCUUUCCAAUGGUACCAAUUUCAUCAUUUUCCAGUGAGUGAGAUUUCUUGUAGGUCCCGUGGAAGUUGACCUACGAAACUUGGCAGAUUCUGAUUUCGCUAUUGAUGUGUCUUUCUUAUGUAGGGAUAGAAUAAGCCUCAACCUUUCAUACCAUUAAGUAUUGAAAAAGGAGUUACUGCCAUUACAUUGGUGUUGCGUGGGCGCAUAGCUACACUUAGCUUUACAACUUUUCAUUACGAAUGAGAUGUCAAGUCUUUCGUAUUGUGUUGAGUACAUUGAUGCGUCUUAUUGUACUUAGAUGGGAACUCCAUCUUUUAACACAUAUUUGUCAUCUUACUUUAGACAAAACAACGGAUCUCUCUUUAGAGUAAAGACUUUGACUAAUCAUGAGAGUAUAUGUAGGCCUCACUUUCGUUAGAGCGCUUAAGCCAAUUGAUGAAAAAUCAUCAUCAAUACAGUCAUCGAGUGUCUUAUCGAGACCGUGUCUUCCCAAGAUCUUUUUCUUCGGAUGUUGAUACAUAUUGGCAUCUCUUGAUCCAUCAAGAGUCCAUGUAAAUCUGGAAUGAACACGCAAAUGCAUAAUUCACCAUAUCCCUUCCAAAUCAAGUAGAGUCCAUACGCGUUUCAAUACAUUUAGCAAACACAUGCUCAUGUGGUCUGAAGCCACUUGAUUUGUGUAAUAUCCCACAUCGGCCAAACGGAGAGGGGUUAUGUGCUGUAUAUGUACAUGCCCACCUUCAAUCUAGCACGAGGCCUUUUGGUGGCUCAGCGGCUUCGGAGGGGAUGGGUACUCCGAGGUUAAGCAUGUUGAUGUGAGAGCAAUCCCAGGAUGGGUGACCUACUGGGAAAUUGCUCCUAAGCUGCCGGAAACAAAACCGUGAGGGCCGGUGGGGCCAAAGCGGACAAUAUCGUGUUACGGCGGAAUGGAUCCUGGGGUGUGACAAAUGGUAUCAGAGCCACUCUGCCGUGUGGCGCGAGUGAGCCGACAAGGGCGUCGGACUCCCAAGGGGGGUGGAUUGUAAUAUCCCACAUCGGCCAAACGGAGAUGAGUUAUGUGUUGUAUAUGUACAUGCCCACCUCCAAUCUAGCACGAGGCCUUUUGGUGGCUCAGCGGCUUCGGAGGGGAUGAGUACUCCGAGGUUAAGCAUGUUGAUGCGAGAGCAAUCCCAGGAUGGGUGACCUACUGGGAAACUGCUCAUGAGCUGCCGGAAACAAAACCGUGAGGGCCGGUGGGCCCAAAGCGGACAAUAUCGUGUUACGGCGGAAUGGGUCAUGGGGUGUGACAAUUUGGAUGAAUGAAGUCUGUUCAAGACCUUCAUGCAUAUCUCUGAUCUCGUAGAGAUGUUAUUAUGACCACAUUCAUAGGCUGCUUGUUCAGCGGAAACUACCAAACUGACAAAGUAGUGGAGUUCAAUGACAUCCAUUACGAAAGCAUAUCUUAUCGUAGUUGAUCCCAGUGCGUGAUAGUGAGAGAUCUUGCGCCAUAAAGUGAGUCUAAACUCUUGUUCUCACUACGCUAUCUAACAAAGGUAUAGUUGAUAGGGUUUAGCUUGUGGUGUCGGCAUCACCUGCCCAAGGACCUAUCUCUUUGUUAAUGCUGGAUCGCAUCUUUCCGUUAGGCCAAUCAACUAAGUUGAUAUCCAUCAACGAAGGGUGUUUCGAUAUAAACUCAUUAUCCCACGUCCUCAUGUACACUAGUGUAAUACUUGUAGAGAUCUCUAUAUGGAUUGGAUUUAACAUUGAGGCGUCCCCCAACGAAAAUCACAAUUCAGACUUCAUGAGACGGAUUUGAGUAUCACUGAUCAAUGGAUCAGGUUGUGCCAAACUCGCUUUCUUCCUAGUGCGAUAAAGUAUCGAACCUAAGGGCCUCCCUCCUUUUAGGGAGCCACACGGCCUUGUGACACCAAUUUUGCCACUAUAUGGCGUCACUAUAUCACCAUCCAUGGUGAUGGCGUCAAGACCAACACAUUUUGGUCGCGCCAUGUCCUCUUGAUGGGACAUCAAUCAUUGCAGACAUAUUUGCAGCAUGUGAUCUCGUCACUUUAACAUUUUAAGCAUUUAGGAUCAAGAUGAAACUUAGUAGGGGAAAACCACGACAAUUCACGUCGUUCCACUUGAACACUUGUGUUCUUAUCUCCCCUUAACGGCGGGAAUAUUGUCUCAUUAAAGUGACAAUCCGCAAUAUAGCGGUGAAAGAGAUCGCCUGACAAGGUUUUUACAUAUGCGGAUUAUAGGUGGAGGUUCACAUCCAACCUAAAUACUUAUUCAUCUCAAAUGACCCAUCAUUGUGCGCAGUGGCAGUGCGAUUUGGCACCUAGAAUAAACAUCUAGCUGAGCUCAAUGAUUGGAGAUCCGUUUCAAUCUUGUUUGAGCUCAAGGAUUGCAAUCCUGGUACACAGUCACAAGCUGUAGUACAAAAAUAUUCAAUGAUGGUGGGUCGUAGAUGAAUAGUAAAGCUGCAUGCAAAUAUUGCAUAGCCCCAAGACGCAAUAGAAAAAUUGGUGCGCAUCAAUAAUAUUCAAGCGACAAACUAAAGUUGUCUUGGUGAGACCGUAUUGCGUGUGAACAUGGGGUACAGGACACUUCAACUUACAUCCCGAUAAACUUCUUUAAAGAAUGGGUAGUGAACCCGUAGAAGUAUAAGCAGCAUAAACAGUAGAUAAUAGUGUAACACGUGACCAGUAUGCUAACACUUCAACCAACACCAUAAAGCAUAAAAGGUGUCCACAAGUUGGUUGUAUCUAUCUACAUAGUUUGAUGUAAGAAUAGAAUGUUCACUUUUGUGUCAUUUAGCGUAGGAAGGUCUCACUCCUAAUUUAGCUAAAGAAUAGGCUUUUAAAACGAGGAAUGAGCAUUGCAGGGGUCAAUGAGACAUCGAGGGAAGUCCGGUGCACCUCAAUUGCUUGAGGAAUUGACCGGACGACCUCCAAGAAGUUGGAGUCGUGUUUGGGUGACGUCAAUGUCCCCCGGGUCACCACCAUGCUUCAUGGUGAUGCUAGAUCUCGAAUGUCUUCGUUUUGAGCGGAAGAAUAGAUGUCCAUGAGAAUUUCUCAAAAUUUGGACCAUUAUAUCUCUUCCAGGUUGACCAAUUUGGUCAAACCAAAGCCUAUAUGAGUCAGUGUCCCAAAUAUCAUGUUUGGCGACAACAUGGGAUUCGAUAUUCGAAUCAUAGUGACAUACAGUCCACUAGAUUGACUAAUGAAUUUCUCCAAGAUGCACUUCAGUCCGCAUUCAUGAGAAGGUAUACACAAAAGAAUUCUUGUUCAUUCUCACAAUGUGUUUUCAAAUGAAAACUAUUAGCAGGAAUGUCUUUAAAACUCAAUAUGGUUCGAUUGCCUCUCAAUGCAUAGAGGGUAUCUGUGACAUUGAUCAUGGUGCCAUGAGGCAUCAAGAUUUAAACUAAACCGCAUCCUUGAAUGACCGGUAUGAUUCAAUCAUUGUAGUCACAGAAGAUUUACAAAGAUAGCUGCCGGUUCCUUAGAAUGUUGUGGAUAGUUCCACUAUCUGCGAAGCACUCAAUGUCUCGAUGAGACAUAUCUACAAGAAGGAGUAGAUAGGCUAGUUAAUAGUUCCACUUGAACCAUUUAGAAGGAUUGAAAGAAGCUACGAAAAGCUGCAAUCCCGAGAGUGCAUAAAAAUUUCCGCGCAGAAUGACCUUUGCGCACUAAAACAGCCAUAACUUCCUCGUUAAAAUAGAUAUGGACGAACCGCGAAAAGUUCUAAAAACUAGACUCAUAGAUAUUUCCAAUGAUAUAAAGAUCACUGUCUGGUUCGUCCGGAGCUAUUCACAAAGCUCAAACGAAGUUGACUAUCCAGAAGGGACAGAUUGCUGUUUUUCGCAGAAUUGGCAUGUGCGGAGCUGUGAAGCUUGCAAGUGGCGUGUAGGCUUUUUCCUUAGCCACAAGUGACGUGUUUAUGAUCAAAACCAAGUCCUUUCGGUCAUUCUAAGGUCGUAAACUCCAUGACUAGUUAGCAAAAGCUCCCUAACAUGAACAUAAACUAACUCAGAGGACCUAGAGGAUUAGAUCAUUAUGAUAAUUUUCCGGUUUUUAAUAACUCUUCAACGUCUUUUGCAAGACGGCAAUUGGUUUAAUAGCGUAGGGAGAUCUAAAAUCAAAAGCUUUCGGUAACUCCAAGUCAGUAUGACCAGGCAUGUCCGUGGAGGGUCGGUAGUGCGAGGCACACUUGAAACCACUAUCUCCUUAAUUUCGGACAAUUCUAAGACAUCACACUGAGUUUGGAUGAGCCUAGUUGAACAAUUGAUGAUGGAAAAUCCGCUAUAGGGUAGAAGACUUAACCGGAAACACGUGGGCGAUCCUCUUUGAGGAUGCAGUGCCAUGAGUCACCUUCAAAAGAAGGGACCAAAAUCCGCACAAUAUGCCAUGUCUUUAAGGACGAUGUAAGAAUAUACAUCUUUUUUGUAAAUCAAUAUGAACUAUAAGAGGAGAAUAGAUUCACUUCGAAAAAAUUCCCAAGACAUUCAUUAUUGCUAAUGUGAGUAUAUAUCGAGGUCUCAAAUAAACAAAGGACAUCGAUACGAUGUCUUAUUACAUAUAGCUUGGAAAGAAAAUCAAUGUCUAGCCAAUGACAUCAAAGUCAGGGGUAGUUAGAGCUGUUGAUUUUUCGUACUUUUUGUAUGCAUUCAUAAUUUGAAGGAGCUUGACAAUCUUGAACCAGUGAUCCGAAGAUCCACAACGGCUGCAUUGUCAUGAGCUUACGUGAGUAGUUUUGACAAAAUGGUGUCUAGACCGGGAGUGUCGCUAUUAGAGCCGGCAACACCUCCCCCUCUUUUCUAGACAUCGGCACGACGUUUUCUGCCGUUGUCAUGACCCAUAUUAUUGUCCCCACAUUAGGGGAUAAUCCUAAAUAAAUUUAUCACAUUAGCGUAUAUAUACAAUUCCCGUAUGUAUGAUCAAAAUCAAGUCUCGUUGGUAAUUCCAAACCAACUUGGAGGACCUAGAGAACUUGAUGAUGAUCGAAUCCGCUAAAAGUUAUGGAUCAUGAUGCCACAAAAGAUCAUCGACAAUAUGUAGUCAAUUAAAGUGAUAAGCAAUCCACUUGACUAAUAACUCAACAAGUAGAGUUAUAUGGACGUUUCAAGAAACGCUCCAUGAGUGCAUUCCACAGUACUUUAUGGUCAUUACUUUUUGCACAGAUUGCCAUUGAAUGCUUGUCGAUGUGGCGCGUCAAAAACUUUGAGCACAGGAGAUGUGAAAUCUCGGCAUCUAGGCUUGUUAGCCUGGGGGUCAAAAUACGUGGUUUAAUCCUUUCCAGUGAAAGGUUCCAUAGAUACCAAGCGAAGAUUCGCCUUAGGUAUUCGCUUAGUAUCGAGUACGUCAAAACUCAAUGAGCAGAAUGUUACGUUGCUCUUGCAUACAAAACCAAGCUGUUAUGAGACUCGAUAGAGGUCACAAAUAAUGCUUUUAAUGGUUUGUCCUUCGGAUUGAUCAUACACAAUCCGGAAAAAGCCGCGAAUUGAUCAAACACAAUUCGGAAAAGGCCUCGGAUUGAUCAAACACAAUCCGGAGAAAGGUCGGGGUUGAUCAUACACAACCCGGACAAGGAAGCAAGAGUGAUCAAACACACUCUUGACCCACAAAUAAAAUUCCGGGAUUUUUGGUACCUGCACACACAAAAUCCCAAGCAUAGAAUGGAGAUGGAGAAGGGAGGAAAGGAUUUUAUCCUCCCCGAGUUAUUGAACUUGAAAAAGUUUAAGGUUUCAAAACAUACCUUUCUAGUUUCUUUGAAAGACGAGCAAUCUUGAAAUCUUUGGUUUCUAGAGGCUGCCGAGAGGAGAAACAACGUUUUGCCUACUUAUACUUCGAAUUUGGGGCUGAAUAUGUGACAGGAGGAGUAGCUCUGGAUGGGGAAGCUGCUGUCAAAAUUUCAGGUUGAUCGGAGCAAGGGAAGGUGGCGAACCGGUGGUCGGUAGCGGCGGCGGUUUAGAAUCUUCCGGCGGCCAGUUCGGAGACUUUCCGGCCGGUUCUCAGGGUGAGGCCGGCGGCGUUGGAUACGGAACGGAGAGAGCUUUCUGGGGAUAUAAAACUCCGGCGGAGGGCAGUUGGAAUUUUGGUUGGAAAUCAGAAAAAACAAGGCUGUCUGAUUUUAGGGUUUGGAAAACAAAUGGUGGGCUAUUGGCUCUAGGGUUAGAACAAAGUGCAUGAUAACGUAAUGAAGUAUAAAGUGUAGAGAAAGAGAGAUAGCAAAAGAAUCAUCAUCUUAUUCAUUGAUAGGAGCCCUUUAUAUAGGGAAUUACACAAUACCAAUAUGGUAAAGAUAUGAAUACAUAGAUCUAGUCUAACUACAUAUCUUAUUGGCAUAAGUCCAAGGCACACAUAAAGAAUAUCUAGAAAGAUACAGAAUAUCCUAGAACAGUAUUCUAAUGUUAUAGGAUGGGACGAGAUUUUUCGGGAUUGUCCCGAUCUCAUCCCGUCCCGUUUCAACACUACCAUAAUGGGAUGGGACGGGACGGGAUUGCCAUUUUCAAAACCUAUUCCGUCCCGUCUCGCUAAUUUUCGGGACGAAACCGAUACGGGAUUAGGAUUCGGGUACUAAAUGCCCGGCCCUGCUCUUCACUCUCUUGUAACUGUUCUCGUCUUUGCAAUUUCGUCAAUUUGAUUGUUAGACCCCGAUAGUUAACGUACAUAAUAAGAAAGAGGUGGGUCUCACUCUCACUCAUUAUCUGUACUCUCUCUUAUCUCUAUCUAUCUUCCAUUCUUCACCCACGUCUCUCGCGCUGCUCUAUAAAUAGGGAUGGCCAAGCUGCAUUGUGUACCUAACUCACAAACCACUUCCUUCAUAUAACUUUUAUUGUUGAGCAAACUAAUAGUGAUAUCGAUGGCAUUCUCAAAGACUGUUCUUCUGGUUGCUCUUGUCUUUGCUUUUCUCCUCAUCUCUUCUGAGGUCUCAGCUCAUGGUGAGUCAUAUCCUUCCUUUCAGAUUACGGUAUUCUCAACAAUUCUAUCAGUACGUGACUAAAAUGCAUUACAUUUUGGGUCACUGGUCACAAAAAUAUACCAACGGCAAAAUCAAUCAAAUUUUGAGCAAUUUCAUUACAUAUAAGAAACCAGAUGUUGGUUUGUUCGUUUACCAUGUACAGCAAGAUAUCANNNNNNNNNNNNNNNNNNNNNAAUAUAUACUAUAUAUAUAUAUAUAUAUAUAUAUAUAUAUAUAUAUAUAUAUUAUAUAUUGCUCACAUUUUUUUUUAAAAUCGUUUUAUUUUUGGGUACAGAAAAUUCUGACCACUUCCACGGCGGCGACGAGCAUGGACAUGGUGGCCAUGGAAAUGGAGGACAUGGAGGCCGAGGAGGGCAUGGAGGACAAGGAGGGCAUGGAGGACAGGGAGGGCAUGGAGGACGCGGUGGCCAUGGAGGACGUGGAGGGCACGGAGGGCACGGACCAGGUGCUCAGGAAACUGAGAAUUAGAUAACCGUUUGCUGCCUAGCCUAAUGUCAGGCGUGCUGCUAGCUUCAUGAGUAUUAUUAGUAUGAACUACUAUAUAUGAAGCACUAGCUAGUUUGUGAAAUAAAGUUGUGUUGGUUGAGUAGUAAUCCAAAAACUCUCAAUCAAGCAUGAUAUCAGGUUAUUUCUAAGUUUUAUUGUUUUUUCGAUAUGUUCUAAGUUUUAUCGUUAUCCUCUUAAAUUGUAAUGUUUCUAAUGCAUGUAUGCCUGAAAUGGCCUCGUUAUAUGUUAAUAUGUACUAUUUGCACUUAGUUAAUUUAUUGAAGAAAAAAAUAAAACACUCAGAUGUGAUAAAACUUACAAAAUAAACUAGAAACAUAAACGUGAAAAGUCCAUAACAAAUGGAAGUAAUAAGAAAAUGUACAUUGUAGGUCUGAUUGAAAUGUCAUCUUGUCUGCCUUAUCUAUGCUUCAAACCAAACAUUUAUGCUAACAUUACAUUACACCAAGAACCGGGAAAGAUUACACUGUUGUGUACUUAAAGAAAAAUGAUCCAAUCAGUAUCUCACCUUUUAGAGAAACAAAACUUUAGUAUCUCAACUUUUAAAAACUUCAAAACGGUAUCUCACGUUCUUACCCUAACUAAGUAUUGGUAUAUGGAACCGUUACCUCUGUUAAAAUUAACGACAACGGAAGGAUAUUUUCGUCUUUAUAUAUAUUAAAGUUUUUUUUUCUCUCUCAUUAUUUUCCACCUUUUCUCUUACUUAUUUUAUUUUCUUUAAGACCAUCCCCUCAAUUUCUUCAUAACCCAGAUUUCCAUUCCAGUGAAGAAGAAGACUCCCCGUCCCCAAAUCCAAAGUUCAAGACUUCUUGCAGUUUAUUUCAAUAGAAAUAAACCUGAUAUAUAUACAUGAUGAUUUUGUUAUUUCAAUCUCAUCUUAACCUCUGCGUUUUGCAUUACAUGAGCAGAUGACCUCUUCCACAGAAUAUGAAAAAUGAAAUUGAUGUUUUAAAUUCUUCCUUUGCUCAACUUCAAGCUAGCCCCAUUUUCAGUUUGAAUUUGCCAGAUAGUUAAUAUGGACAAGGCUUCUUUGCUCGCCGGCGAAACUUCGAACCACAACCCAAUAACCUCUUCACCUUGAAAGGCAGAUUUGUGGUCAGGGACAUCCGUGCAAAUUCAAAUCCCAAUCCAGAUUUGUGGGUUGGCUUUUAUAUUAUAUAAGAAAAAUUAAUGAAAAUAGAAAGUAAAAGAUAAAUUGAUCAUUUUAGGAUAAACCAUCAGCUUUUUUAACGGAAGUAACCGUUUCAAAUACCAAUAUUUAAUCGGUAUAAAAACGUGAGACACCGUUUUAAAAUUUUUGAAAAUUGAAAUGUCAAAAUUUUGCUUUUCUAAAACGUAAGACACUAUUUGAAUCAUUUUUCCUUUCCGCAAAUAUAAUUUCUGUUUUAGCUGUUUUUUGUACAAGGAUGAUCAUUGAAUGACAACCACAUAUGAUUUGCGAGUUCGAAAUCCAGAUGAUUUGCAUCAAUACUUGAUGGAACUACAAUGUUUCCCUUUAUGAGUAAAUUUAUCAAUAAUAUCAGAAAUACCAGUCUACUUCGUGAUUAUUCGUUUUUUGUAAAUGUUUUGUGAGUUAUGACAUCAUAACUGAUGGGCUUCGUGUACAUCUACCCACAACGGAAAGUUAACAGGAAAUUGAGGGGUGCGUCUUGAGAUUAUACAAUUACAGAUUAUACAUUACUACCCACAACUUGCACCAGAAAUUCAUACCUUACCCUCCUAGUUAAUUGUAGGCUACAAACGACAAAUGACACAGAAAAGCUAACCACACAGCAGCAAAAGAUCAAUCACCUACAACCUUUUCUUACAAAAAUGAAAAACGCUGGGGUGCACAUUGCAAAAGACCUAAAUACUUUUCCUAAACAGAUGCUCCUCCACGGGCUUACUCAGGCAGAAAACCUGCUGAAUGCCGGUUUGAGAAGUAAGGAUUUGGACCAGGAGCAAAACCAUAGGGGGGCCGUUGAUCAGCAUGUUGGGGUGCCCUGAGAUCGUUGUACGGGUUGCUAUUGAACACAUACCCAAGCGCUGGUUGGGUUCCUAAGGCACUCGUCCCAUCCAACGGAUGUAAAUACCUCUCCAUGAUUGACGUGUUCAUUCUGUGAGAUGGGUAAACGGCUGAACCAUGCUCAGCAUGCCCAUACGUGGACGGAAAUGCAACUUGACGUGGACCCGCUAUAUAAUUACUUCUGUGCAAAUCAGAAUCUUGAUGCCCAUAAAACCGUGCAUGUAUUUCAUCCAUCCCCCGGGAAUAUCUAUGCUCAAUGGAAUCUAACCUCUCUCUCCUGCAUCUAAUUUCAGGUUCCUCCAAGUCCGCAUCCAUAUAAUUAGAGCUAGGACUGGCACCACUGGGACAUCUAUGCGUGAAAAUUGGAUAAAUCUCCUCACUGCUCAUGACAUUUCUACCAGUGUCAUCAGGGAUUCUGGCUAUGGUCCUGUCAUAAGCUGUUUCAAAAUGCACACUUGAACUAGAAUUGCUGGGAUGCUGAUUCGGUUUUCGCUUUUGCUCAUUAGAUGGAGAACUUUCCUUCUGAAUCUCACUAGAAAAAUUGUCGCCAUCACGUUUUUUGUCUGGCGACAACUCAACCACUCCACUCCCAUUCUUUUUUCUGCCACCACACUGCCGUCUCCCAUUCUUUUUUCUGCCACCGCACUGCCGCCUCUCAGAAAUCUCAUUAACCUGGUUCUUAUGGUUACCAGAACUUGCACGGAAACCUCUGUCACCAUUUCUCUUGGAGGAUCUCUCUUCAUGUCCCUCGCCUGCAACUCCAACAAAAUCACUGGAAUUACCAGUUGGUGUCAAAUAAGCAUUUUCCACCAUCAGAUUUUCAUCCUUAUUCUCAACUGAAUUUUCAUCCUUAUUCUCAACUGAAUGAACAUCUUUCCCUGGCCCUAGUAACAUAGGACCGUGACUAGCCUUUCGAGCAAUAGCCCUGUGUGCCUCAGACCAAUCAGGAUGACUCCAAAGAUAGAGUGGAGGUGCUGUCACAUUCCACUGAUCCAUUUGCUUGUCAUUCUCAUCAACAGAUCCAGGGAGAUAAAAGGACUGAAAGGAGACAGAUACAAGUGAGAAACAAACAUUUAAAAUUUACAUUCCAUUAGUUAACAAUCACUAUAGGUGACUGGUAGAUACUUCUCAAUUUACCUUUCCUGACAAAAACCGUUCAUCCUCCCAUAUCAGAUCAUAUGGUAACCUGAAUAAAAGCACCAAAAUAUACACAAAUCAGAAUCUGAUUUAACGAGACCAGAGAGCAUACUUCAGACAUGUCAGAGAGAAUAUCUACCUUUUUGUUUCUGGUGGAACAAUAAGAAUAAGGAGCUUCGGAUUGAAUUCCAGAGCCUUAGAAAUAAACUGGUUUGCCAAAGCUGCUUUAACUCCAAAAGGAGGGUUCAACCCCAUAAUCUGCUCAAGAAGCAAAGUUAGAGAAUAGUGAAACAAUUAGCACAAGGCUUAAGAAAUCCAAACAACUUGACAUAAAAUAUACCAAACCUCCAUUUCUUACCAAUUUAUUACGAUCGGGUAAUUCAUGUUUUUGAACAGUCAUCCAAUCUCUCUUCUCAAAGCAAAAAUCAUUCUGCAAUGUAUAUUUAUAAAACAUGUGAAGUGUAUCCCAACAUUUUUUUUUUAUCAAUAAGCAUGUGAAUUAGCAAACACACACACACAGUCCUAUCAUCCAGUAACCAACAUACAAUGUGACAUAGUAGAACAACCAAUAAAUUGGGCACAGUAAAGUUCUGUAGCAAAAUGAUGAUGAAAAAUUAAGAACCAGGAGUAAACUCCAAGUGCUUGUUGUCUGAAUUUCAUUUUCAAUAUCAGUACAGAUCCAAAAAAUCUAAGUCUACAGUAUGGUAAACAUUCGUGAACUACAAUGGGAGCACAUGAGAUAUUCCAAACAACUGGUAACUGAUCAAUCAAAAUUCUUUCACGCUGACAAGCGUACUUCGCCCUUAAACAAUGCACUUUUAAAUGCCAUAUUUAUUAAAAUCCUUGUGUUUUAGGAGCUCUUUAUCUUUAUAAACUCCCUAUAUAUUAGGCUCUCGAUUUCUCUAUAACCUCCCUGUGUUUUGUAAGCCCUCUACUCUCUCUGUCUUUCUAAACAUGGCAGUGUUUUGGGGCUUCACCCUAUUCUAUUGUUUCAUUAAUGGUCUAGCUGCAGCCUAACUGGCCCUCCUCAGAUAAGCAAAAAGAGCAGGCAGUGUCCUGUAAAUUUCUCUUUGAUAAGCUCCUGUUUUUAUAAAAAUCUUUCAAGACUUGCCACAUGAGGUGUGGGAUUGCUAACAAGUGUGAAUUGGGGGAAUUACAAGGGUUAAGAAACUACAAGUAGGAUGCAACAAAGUGUGUAUUCGGAGAUACAUUAGAAUGAAUCAUGUCUAUCAGAGAAACGUACUUUUUUACUAUUAUAAUUUGAUGCGCAAAAUGUUUAUGCAUUUACUCUUGAGGGACUAGAUCAGAGCAAAAACACUCUACCUAUGCUAUUUACUUAAUACAUUGAUUCAGAAUUACUAACCGUAACACCUGUGAUCUUAAGACUUUUACCAGAAGUUUAGGCUGCAAUGCUAUUUGGUGUAUCAGAAGUUUUACAUCAACAAUAUCAAAUUUCUACUUGACGAGUACAACGGGAAUAUGCAAGCGUCCGGCAAAAGACUACAUAUCAUCAAUAGUAAGAUCCAAAUUGACCAAUAAAAGAAUUUAACAAAUAAAUUUUACCUUGGGAUGAAUGAUGUCAUAAUUUUUAAAAUAGCACUUCUUCCCCAUCUCCUCAAGCUUUUUCUUCAUUGCGAUGCUGAAAUCAUUAGAGCCACAACAGAAGUCCACUAUCUGCUCAGUGGAAAAAAAAUGUAAUCAGGCACUCAACAACUUUUUAAAGAGGUACUAAACACAGAGAGAAGUCAAACAGAACCUUAAGAUAAUGGUUUAGGUUAUCAAAACAUGACACAAUCAAGAACAUUAAGCAUUCUUGCAAAAAGUAAAUCAUGCAGAGGGAUUAGAUACAUUUGCCAUGAUUUUGAUUAUUUGACUUGAUUCAUGUCAAUAAAGAUCAGAUAAGAAAACAGGAUCAGAUAAAGCAAAGCAGCAUCCAAAUUCUAUAUUAUGGAUGUAUUUUGGACUCAUGUAUGUGCAUCGACUAAACUUAUUUCCAAUAGAACAAUAGACAUCCUUACCGUGUCUCCACUCUGUACGUACCAAUGGAGCAUAUCAGCAAUCUGUAGAAUGAAAAUUAUCAAUGAGAUUCCAUAGUUUUGAUAAAGAAAAUAUGUGCAGACCCAGUUGAAUUACACAGUUAAGAAGAAAAAAAAUUAAACAGCCAAAGAUAAAAUAUUUCUGCAGCCACAUGAUAAUGAGUAAUGACGAUAUGAAGAACUGGAAGUAAUACAGACCACACGCCACUAUGCUGAUACAGUUUUACUUCUUUUCUUUGUUUUCACAAAUGUGUGAUGAUGUGAUUGGGAAAGGGUAAUAAAACUUCUUAAGAUUAGUUAGGGAGGUGUCCCUUUUAUAGCUGAGGUUUUAGGCUUCUUUUGUUGCCAUCAGAAUCAGCUGAUUUUAGAGACAUUAUCUCUUCAAAUCAGAUUAGCGUUGGGUUUUAAACAUGUGUUUUUAGUGUAGUUGCAUGUGGUUUGUCUUUGUGCUAUUGCCCAAUGGUAGACCAGUUUUGCGAAUUUAGACAUGAUCUUGAAACUUUUGACUUUGGUUACUAAUAAAGUUACUAUCAAAACCAAUCAAUAAACUUCCAAAUGGUGCUCUAAAAAAUCAUUCAUAUUGCUGAAACCACAACAACGAUUCACAAUAAUAUACCAUAUAACUGAUGCACGUGAACACAAAUGGAUACACAUGUUCAUGAAAGCACUUAUGAAAGACACGUUAAUGUGAAUGAAAAAAAAAUACAAUAAAAUGGUAAUAAAAACACCAAGCACAACAUAAAUUUGAAACAGCCAAGACCUAAACAGACCGGACUGCUGGUCUACACAACCUAAUAUGACAGCAUACACAAGGUAAUAAAUUUAUAUUAAAUUUCAAGAUGAAUUGAAAUAAAUGAGACCAGAACAAAAUUAGAUUACCUGUUCCAGUUUUUCCACCUUCGUGAAAUGGCGACCAAAGGACGUAUACCGCAUCCCAUGCAAGAAAGGUGCAAGAUAUACUUUAAGCUUGUUCUGCAACAAAGUACCAUAACACAAAUAAGAACACUAGAAAAUACCAUUUCCAAAUAAAAAUGUGGAAUGAAGUUAGAUGAGGUAACGAAAUCAACGAUUUGAAACUAAAGUUAACCAAUAAAACUGAAGCAGACAACACAGAGAGAGAGAGAGAGAGAGAGAGAGAGAGAGAGAUUUCAUGUAGUGAUAUAUCUUUAGCAAUGAGAGGGGAAUGCGCUUAGUAACAAGUGGGUCACAUAGGAUGCUAAAUAUACAAUAUUUAGAGUACAAACAUGAGAGUACAAACUUUGCUAUUUUUCUACUACUUAAAUAUACAAUAUUUCCUGAACUUAUAUACAUGUAUGGGGUUUAUCUACAAAUAGGUGUCUGCAAGCAUUUAUAAACAGACAAACAGGCACUAUAUUUCAGAAUAACAAUUUCAAUAAAAGAUGUACCCAAGAAAUAUAUAUCCAUUUGACACAACCAAAGUCCAAUGAUCACAAUUCCAUCACAAAAUAAAUCUAGUUUUAGCUACGAAUUAGAAGUCUGUUUCAGCUUUGCUUAUGAGGCUCAUUCUUCUUACCUUCUCAAUUAAAUGUUCAAAACUGAACAUGCAUUGAUCAAUAUUUCUUAGUCCUGUACUUCCUUAUCUAUAUUCAUUAUAUGUUUUUCCUUAUCUUUUACUUCUAUAUAUUCUGCUUUCUCCCUCAUUUGUAAGUGUGUAGUUGAACAGAAAACUUUAAUACUCAAUCUACAUACAAGCCAACUCAAGCCGAGGUCAAGAAUCUACAUACAAGCCACAACUCAAGCCAAGCUCAAGUUCACUUGUUCCACACACAAACAUAAUACAGCACGGUUAAUCUAGCCACGCAGUAUGAUGCUCUGACCACUUGACUAGUUUAUCCACGUCUAGCAUAAGCAAGCCAAACCCAAGUAUAACUUCUUAAAGUGAAAGAGGGUGAGAUACCCUAGUGAAAUAUCCCAUGCAUAAAUCAACAAGCAACAAUUCAGGAAACCUAGGAACAAAUCACAAAGAGUCUUUGCAUAAAAUAGCAACAGAACUGUAGACACAUUUUAGAAUAAGAAAAGAAAACCACCUUCCACUUAUAAAUCUGGGAAAGAAUCUCCGGAGCACAAACAGCCUCUGCAUCUUCAAUACUGCAACCUUCCUGUAGUUUCUUUAACGCAGUUCGAAUAGCCUAAUUAUACAUAGAUGGCGUUAAGAAACCGAUGAUAAGAGAAAUAAUUAUUAAAAAAAAAAUCAUACUUUAUGCCCAAAUUGAUAAAUGAAAUUCAAAAUAAUACCUCAACUGAGCCUUCCACCUUUCCCUGUGUAAUGUUCCUUUCUACAGCAUAUCUGUUUGAGGACUUAUGAGUGGAUGGAACUUUGUGCUUUUCUAUAACCUCUUCCAAUGUUAUUGACGAGGCAGCAUCUUUCAUUAAAGCAUAUAAUCUGGGAUAUAAUAAAUGAAUUCAGCGCACUGCAUAUAAUUUAUAUUGAUCCAAUAAAAUAAUGAUUGCCUGUAACAAUUGCAAGCCCUUGUAAUGUUAUCCUAAGCAUAUCUGUGUAUUAACGCUAAACAGUAUACAAGACCAUUCGAACAGUAUUAAAACUGUGCGAAUCGCCCCUUCAUUCACACUACAGUCCGUAGUGUGAAUAUCCUACCUAGAAGGCUAGAAACAGUCCCUGGUUUGUGUUAAAUUGAGGCAUAACAGUAGUUACAGACAUAUACAUAUAUGUUAAGGGUGCGGCAAGGUUCAAAAACUCACUAGGCACUACUAGGGUGGAGGGAAGGCUAGGCGCACCUAGGAGGCUGGGCUAAGGGUUUAGGGUCUAGGCGAGCUUCUAGGCGGCUUAUAUUUUUUUUUUUUAAAUUUGUAACUUUUAUUUAUAUAAUUCAAAAUAUAUAAGGAUUAAAAAGAGUAAUAAUUUGUAUCUACAACAUUCAUAUUUCAAUAUAAUCCUAACAAAUCAAAAUAGGGUGAGAAUGUUAAGCAUACAAAUACUAGAACAAGACAUUUGUUUUAGCCUUGAAAAAUAGUAAUUAAAACGCCCAGGCGCUACUAGGGCGGAGGGCAGGCUUGGAAUACCUAGGUGACGCCUAGACGGGCUGGGCAACCUUGUUUUAGAACACUUAAGGUUUAAUGCCAAAACGGCCUCCUGAGGUGUACUCAAAAAGUCAGAGUCCCCCAACCUUUUAUGUGAACAAGUAUCUUAAGUAUACAUAAUUAAUGAACCAACAUUUUAUUUCAUACAACUUAUUUCGUAAUUUGUUUGCUACUUAUGUGAUUGGCAUGUCUGCUUUUAGGUAGAUUGGAUGAGACCCUCAGAAAAUUGAAGGGAAGAACAUUGUCAAAACCUUGAUAUUUAUGUAAACAUCAGGGAAUCUCUGGCAUUUAAAAAGCCUCUGUUUAAAAGCGCAAGUAUCUUCAUAAAUAUCGAACUAGAAUUGGUAAAUAAUUAGUAAAAGAGCAAAAGUAUGUUCAUAAAAAUUGAGCUAAGAUUGCUAAAUAAUUAGUAGUCAAAUAGACUUACCUCCUUUCUCUAGCAGGAUCUAAGGAAGCUGCUGCACUCAAUGUUUUUGUUGUAGGAUCGAAAUAUGCUAUCUUUUCAGAAUUUAGUUCAGCAUCAUCAGGCUCAUCCUUCUUCCCAAACUUUACUGACCCAUGUUCCUUAACAUAUUUAAACAGCCUAUUACCCAAUGAGUUGUUCUUUUCCACGCUGGUCGGGACUUCCUUUUUCAGUGUCCUAUUUACCAUCACCUUUCUUGAUACAUUUAACCCAGAAGGUACUUUUUCAGUAAAUCUGUUACCCCCAAGUUUUUCACCCGAAUUCGUUUUCUGCUUAGAUAGUGUAGGAGCAGUUCUUUCUCUAUGCAAUCCCUCUGACGAAAGCUUUCUCUUCUUCAAAAGAGAGCUGUCACUGACCACAUGAGACUCUGAUGUCAGUCUCCUCUUUUUAACUUCGAAAGUAGCCUUCUUUUUCACAAUAGUAUUCUUCUUUCCAUCAUCAUCAGGGAAUUUAACAUGGUUCCUUAUUGGAGUUCCAAUUUCUUCAUCUAUUUCAUGUUCUCUGAUCAGAAGAAAAAUCAAACUUGUUUAGGAAAAAAUAUUUAUAUAAAAAAAGAACAUAUAUCGGCAUAUCGCAAACAAAACAAAGAACUAAUGCAGCUGCUGCAAAGUACCACGUACGUGCAAUAUAUUAGUAUGCGAUUAGGCAAUAGACCUUCCCAAGCUCUUGUUUCUGUUUCUUCUUCAUCUUCUAUCUCUUCCUCCUUAUCUUCCUCUGUUUUCUCAAAACGGAUAUUACUGGUACAUUUAAUUCAAGCAUGAGUUAUUUUAGACAUGACAAUGGACCAUCAUCUGAUAACAGCAAUAAGACUCUAAAAGUACCUCGGCAAGCAUUUUCUGUGAUAAGAUUUAGGACAACGCCUGCACACAGCAAACCGCAUUUCGGAAUCCUUCUUAUUCUCCCCUUGCUUACAAAGAAAGCACUUAUGAAUCGGACACGUAAAAGAUUCUCCCUGAGAGAUCUUUUUCUCAAGUUCUUCAGCAGAAACUCCAUUGUCUUGAUAGAUUAGUUUUGCAACACACCGAGGAUGGUAAAAUUGACCACAAGUUGCAGAAACACAUGGAAAUACCUAAAAGCAAUAGAUAAAGUUUCUUUAGUGCUUUCUCUCAGAAGAAAGAAGCUUUCAUCGGAUACUUAAAGAUAAAAAAGGAGAGUUCACUAGUUUGUACAACUAACGUACACAUGGGGAAGAAAAAAAGACACUCUUUAACAAAGAAACUGAUUUCCUAUCAAAACAAAUACAGUGGUUUCUAGGAUGAGGUACAUGCCAUUUUUAUUGAAUAAUCUGCCUCGAGAUCCUACUCAUCAUUUACCGUCCAUCAUAAGACCUUGACUUAAUGGGAAUCAAUCAAAGAAAGCUCAAACAUUAUGAAUGUUCCACGAAUUAAAAUGAAAAUGAUAAAACUUUUAUCAGCAUAAGGAAAUUGCACUAAAUCAACAAUGAAAAUGAAAGGAGUGGAACCAACUUUAGACUCACUUAAAUGAUUGCACAAAAUGAUAGGCAGUAUGUUAAAGAAUAUAUAUAUAUAUAUAAUUAAAAAAAGAAAAAGAAACAAAAUACCAAUAUUAAAGAAUGCUAACAAGUCUAUGAAGUCUAUAGUGGCAAAAAGGUGGGAGUACAUGACGUAGGUACUGGUGUCUUUAGGGCUUCUGUCUCUGGAAGUUUAUGAAUUAUACUUCAGAAUCUAUUAUGUUAGAUUGGAAAGCAACCAUAGUCAUGGUUGUUUGUCUAGGCUGGUAGUCUAGCUGUAUCAUUCACGGGCUGUAUAAAGCUGUUUGUUUGCCCUCAAAGAAAAAGAAAAACAAAAAGAGACUUUCUUGUAUGACAGAUAAUCUAGGAACCUGAUAUUUGAAAUUCAUACCUCCGCGCCCAAAGACUUAUCUGAGGAGCCUAACUUCCCACAAGCAAAGCACUGAUGCUGCUUAUAUUGACAGUUCUUGCAGAAGAAACUUGGCAUUGCCUACCAAAUGCAGACCAUAAAAUUACCAUAAUCAAUAAUAAGAAUACCAAAAAAUAGUUGAAAAAACAAAAACCAAGUAAUCAUGACUUAUGAAAAUGUACAUAAAAGGGGAGCAUACAUUUACUUCCUCCCGAGUGAAUCCAAGAGAUUCACAAAUUGAAUCCUCGCCAUCCUCUACAGUGGGAUGGAAGGACCUUAGGCAUCUCCCUUCACAACUGUAAUAGAGAAUAAAACAUAAAUUCUACAUGAAAUUCUAUACAAAAUAUCAAGAUUAUCUUCAGUUUCACCAGGAAUUAGCGAAUACAAAAGCAUACCACAAAAGCUGUCCCCCGUUAUCACAAAAGGCACAAACAGAAUCAAACAGGUUAUCAUCAUCAUCAUCAUUUGACUCAUCUUCAACAUCAAUCAUAUAAUCUUCUGCAUCAUCAACUAUAAAUCCUGGCUUUGUCGUAGCUUGAAUAUCCUGAAACAUCCAAUGACAUCAUACUCAAAACACUAGAACUCUAAACAGCAGAAUUGGGAAACAAAAAACAAAAAUCUCGAUAAUAAAAGCAUAAUAAUGAAAAGGGUAAACAGAUGAGCAAAAGGAUCUGACCUCAUCGGAUAGUGUGGGCUUCUCUUUAAGAAAGUCGACCAUAAACUGUUCAAACACAAACUGUCACUUUCUUAUAUAAACAUAUAGAUAGUGUCUAUACUUCAUGCGUUAAGGAAGUUACAUAAAUGCAGACUAAAUAGGAUUAAGGAAGUUACAUACACAUACAUGUGAAAGUCAAUGGAUCAGCUAACAGGAAAAUUACAAGGAUACUGUCUAUGUCCCAUGCCGCAGUUUAAAGAAUACAAAAUGGCUUUAAGGAAGUUACAUACAAAUACAUAAGAUCCACAACAGGAAAUUACACCACACUCAAAUAAAAUGAAGAUUUUAAGUAAAAGAAAUGAGUGAAAAAAAAAGGUUUGGAGCUUAAUGAUGUUCAUGUACUCAAAAACUCAAUUUUCCCCUAUAAUGUUCAUAUACAAUUGAAGAAGAAGCAAAUACUUUGAGCUCAAUAUAUUAACUGAAACAUAUAUAACUUCUUAACUUGGGAUAUAUUAUGACUAAGAUCGUUGAAGAGAGGAUGAACCAGUUGUGAUGUGGCCUCUCCAAUUUUAAUUGAUCAAAAACCUACUCUCAAGAAUACCAACCAGCACCAUGAGAAAAGGCAUGACACUAUGCAAAAGACUACCACACAAAAGAUCAUUUAAAAGAAACCAGGACAGCACAAGCUGAUGUUUCCUGUGCAUCUAAUUGAAGGGUGGUGGUACCUAGCGCAACUAUAUACCAAAAAUUUAUACUUCAAUCUCAGGCAUGCUUUAAGCAUUAGGAAGUAGAACCACCGAACACUCAAAUACAAUGACAAGAAAACAAGCAGACAAACCUUGGACUUCGCCAACGCAUCAUCCCGUUUAAGAGCUUCACUAAUCAGACUCCUCUGAUCCACCAAAUCACUCUUUGAAGGCCUAUCCUCAUAGCUGCGAAAUUAAAACUUUUUCCAUCAAAUUUUCCACCAAUAAAACCUACCAACCUACAAGCGUAAAGAACAAAGAUUGCGAAAUGUACCUAAAAGCCUUACACAAGUAAUCCCACACAGCUUUCCCGGACGCCUCGGGAUUGCGUUUCGCAUAACUAAGACACUGCACAGUGAUCAAAACAGUCCUGAUAAUCCCCUCGUAGCUCUUCCUCGGCUUCUGCAGCACAAUCCAAUCCCCCUCCUUGGAAAGCACCGCAAUCUCGGGCUUCACAUUCGAGAGAUCAAACCUCCAAGCAACCACAGGCUUGUAAAUCUUCUCAAGGUCAGCACUGCCCUUCAGAAACAACACUGCUGCUUUCUUCUUCUCUUCCUGCCUCUCACCGCCAUCGCUCCAUUGAAUUGGCAACACGUGGAAGGAAAUCGGCUCAUCCUCCCCGUCUAGGAAGUGGUAAUUCGAAACCGAGACCGGCACCGCCUCGGCCUCGUCGUCUGAUGAUUCCAUCUCCGGAAUUCAACACUAAAAGCGAAAUUCGAACAAUGAGCGAACCGGAAUAUCACCGGCGAAAAUGCCUAGGGUUUUGAUUCUGGGAGAAUUGAAAUCUUCGAUCGAAACGUUUGGGUUGAAUUGAGCAACUCCGGUGCGCUAACUGUCAGCUUUGUCUUUAAACUCACGAUUGUAGAAAUUGACUCCAGGUUGAACCCUGAACCCUUCCCACCGUAUAUAUUUUCUCUGGGUUGCUCUGACCUAUCUUAUUAAAUAUCACAGCAAAAGAAGAGUCCUCCCGUAUUAUCAUCCCAAUAAAAAAAUGUCUUUAUUUUAUUAUUAAGAAAUUUUAUUAACACAUCCAUAAUUAUUAGAUACACGUACCAUACUUAAUACAUCACCUAUUAACUUUAUUGUUUUAACAUUUUACUAGAUACACAUACCCAAAUUUCUUAUAAUACCCUCAUUUAAAAUACAUAACUUAUUCACUAAAUACACAACUCAUUCAUUAAAUACAUAUAUUUUCUAAAUCUUCUACUCAAUUUAUUAAGAGAAAAUUCACAUUAGUGAGAUUACUUGCGACACGAUGGCACCGAUUUUGCUUGAUAUCUCUCUCAUUGAUGAGUUAGAUCAAUGGCAACCAAACUAUAAGAGUAUAUAUAUAAUUAUAUAUAGCACCAUCUCAAGUUCUAGUUUGGUGUUCAAACGUAAAUGCUUUUGAACGACCAAGCAUAUGUGAACAAUAAAAAAUAAAUUUUCCAAUUUCAAUUUGCACUAUCUAAUCAAACAACAAACCCUAAAAUCUAAAUUUUGUAGUAGAUCAAUUUUAAUCAAAGAUAGAGAAGUCAUACCUUGCUUAAGGGUUGAGAAACAUCACUGGAAUUCAUUACGUUGUUUUUAGUUUUUGCUUGAAACUAUGGUUGUCGCUAGCUAUUUCUGAUUAAGGCAUGGUAUAUAUAUUCACAUACGUUGUUCUCGUAGAGGAGAAUAAUAGUCUGAAGCGGGAUUUUUUUUUUUUUUUUCAACUAGGUUUCUUUACUUUUGAUAUAAAUGUCUAUUUUGGUAAUUUUAUGUAACUACAAAGUCUUAUUUAAUUUAUAUGAAAAAGUGAUGUGUAUCUAACAUUUAGGGAUGUGUUAAUAAAAUUUCUCUUUAUUCUUACUAGUUUGCUUUUUGUUUUUUGUUUUUAUUCAUAUUUUUUUCUGAAUAAAAAAAAUUGGUUAUGUUUUUUUUUCUUUGAUUUUUAGCGUUUUCUUUCGAUGAAGUGGAUCAAAAUUUUACUGUUACUAUUACAAGAAGCCAACUACUGUUCCACAUUUGUUAGCUCUUUUUCUUAUAUUUUCGUGUUUAUAUAUGAGUAAUUUUAAGUACACACCCAUAAUCUCUUAAUACACUACUCAUCUAAUUUUUCAUUUAAAUAUUAUACUAAAUACACAUCCUACACUGCUUAAAAUACCCUCAAUAUCUAAAACUAAUAAUAAUAUAUAUGUUAUUUAAUAUAAUUAUUAUAUAUUUACUACUUCACAACUCUCUUUACGUAUUCUCUUUUAUUUUCUGUUAGAUUUUUUUUUAUUAGGUUAUAAAUUUUUUCUUGAUAUUUUUUCAUUUAUAAUUAAAAGAGUAAUAUUAUAUUCGAACUCCAAAUCUCCAAUAUGACAUCAAUCGGCUAGAAUUUGAAGAAAACAAAGAAGAAAACAAAAAUAUUGAACAAACAUAAUUUUUUCAAAGUUAAGAAACUAGUAGAAUUGUAGAAGUACAUGCAAUAGCAUAAAAAUUAAACUAGUUUUUAGUCUACAAGAUAAAAACUAAUGUUGAUAAAAAAAAAAACCAAAUGAUUCGGUAAUUAAAUAGUACAUGUGAUUACGACAGUAGUUGAAAUUCAAGUGAUGAAUUUUGGAGAAAAGGUUUUUAUUCUUUUUUUUAUUCGUAGUAAUUAAUAGUGCGGAGGUUUUAGGGAAGAGGCAGUUUCUUUUUUUUCUUUUUUUUUCCUUAAUAAUUGAUGGAUGUUUUUGUAACUAAGCAUACCUAUAAAAUCUGAUGUGAAAUAUAAAAUAAUAAGGGCAUGUAUUAAGAAAUUAGAGAUGUGUAUUUAAAAUUUCUAUAUAUAUAUACAGUCUUUCUCAGGUAAGGAUGUCUUUAUUUAUUCUUACAGUGCAAAUUUCCACUUUAGACUCACUUAUUAAUCGAAUUUUCACAUCUCCACCGUCUAGUCUUUAAAUACUAAUGUAUAGAUCAUCUGUACAAAAUUUCAGCCAAUUUGGUUAUCAUUAAGCCGUUCAAAAGAGGACAUCUACACAGCCCUUAAAGUGCGGACGUCCUUCUAUUCUCCACCGUCCGACGCCGACGACACCUUUUUUUCUUACCGGAGGAUAGCAGAGACAUCCAGGACAGCAUAACUAUGAAGAAGAAGGUCAGAGAGAUCGGGAUUGAAGCACUGGGUAGCAACCUCACUCGAAGCUUCAAGACCGAUCAAGCUCGGUAAGAAACUUGCAACCGACGAGUCCACCAGCAAGAGGAAGCUCAGUAUCAAGGUCUGAUGUGCUCCAGCAAGAAGAAAAGGCGUUGUCGGCGCCGGACGGUGAAAAACGGAGAGACGUCCGCACUUUAAAGGCUGUGCGGACGUCCUCUUCUGAACGGCCCUGAUCAAAUUACAACAAAAAUAUUUAGACAUUAAAUUAUAGUGUUAUUGAAAUAUAAUAAAAAUGGUGCAAUUUAGGUACCUCAAAACUUGGUGAAACCUUUGCACCAAAACCACGCUUCCCAUUAUACAAGUGAAGAUUAAACACAUCUUAGGGGUUUCUAAAAAAGGAGACAUUAGGGGAAUUGGGCUGUUAUAUUUAGUAAUUAACAAUGACACAACUAGAACAUGGUUAGUAUCGUGUCGUGUGUCGUAAUAGGAUGUGAAUUACUUAAACAAAAUACAUCUAACAAUCAAUAGCUGAUUCAGGAUUACACAGCUAGAUCAAGGAUAGAAGUCAUAGAACAAUGGAAGAUUUGUCCGAUUGUGCUACUGGUACAAUCUUUAAAAAUUGUAUCCACAACAAGCACGAAGAGUUCUCUAAGUUAUGCAUGAAGAAAAUAACUCGGGUGAUUCCUAUGUGAUUUCCAUGUUUACUCAUGACGCAUUGAGGUUCAAAUAGCAUUAUAUAGUAAGUGGAACACAUCAUGCAACUAAUGCUAUUAAAACAUCCAUCCACUCGUGUGAACCAAAAUAUACUCACAUAUUCAUGAAGCCAGCAAACGCUUUUUCGAGUUACUCACGAGUUACGACCAAGAGAAAAACCAACUAGCUAGGAUUCAACGAGUUACCCGUGUUUACUCACGAGUUUACUCACUACAUGGCGUUAGGAAUCAACUAAAUUCGUACUUUAGCCAGAAAACCCAAGGACUAAAAUAUACUCAAUACCCUUGAUAUUUCCACUUUUAACAAGCAUCGAUAUUAAUUUUCAUAUUUUUUUAAUAUUUUAUAUUUAGUUUAUUUUCGGUCAAAUAUAUAGUUUUAUAUAACUUUGAUAAAAUUUUCAUAGAUAUUCGAUAUUUUCUCGAUAUAUCUAUUAGAAUUUUAUUUUUUUCCAACCAUCGAUAUUUUCACGAUUGCCGAUAUAUAUAUAUUUUUUUAACCUACCUGUUACAUGCUUGUUAAUUACCUGAAUGUAGCAAGGCACAUGUGCUGAGACUGAGACUGGAAUCACACGCAACGAUGCAACUAAACAUUACUUCUCUUGUCACAACUAGGAUUUCUAUUAUAUGUUAUGGAUUAGGGAGACACCAAGCCUUUGUUGGCUAAAAAGAGAAGGAUCUAUAACAUUCCUCUUACAAUUCUAUCCGCGGCAUUACUCUUCAAUUGUUCUUUAAGUAGUUGCACGUAUAUAUAUUGAUCAAUGAGAAAUUUUAAAUACACAUCCCUUACUUAAUACAUCACCUAUCAAGUUUUUCAUUUUAGUAUUAUACUUAAUACACAUCCCAAACUACCUAAAAUGUCCUUAAUUUAUGAAAUAUUAUAUUAUUUAAUAUAAUCAAUAUAUAUACUAUUUGGUACCUCUUUUUACAUAUUAUUUCAUCUAAUUUUUGCUAGAAAUUUUUGGUUAUCAUCGUUCAAUUUAUAAUCAAAUGAUUAUUGUUAUAUCUGAACUCUAAAUCACCAAUACAAGUUUUCAAAAUUCACAAGCUACUCUAAAUCACCAAUACAAGUUUUCAAAAUUCACAAGCCAAUAGAACUAACUGCAGAAGUACAGUAGCUAUUAAACAUAGAUAGCUAGUUAUUCGAUAAAACAUGUCAUGAUAAAGAUGCAGUACAUGACAAUAUGAUCUGCAAUAUCAAACUAAAGCUGAUACAGAUAAAAAAAAAAAAGACAACCCAAAUGAAUUAUGGAGAAAAAUUGGGGUUAGGAGAGAAGACGUGUUUUUGACGAUUUUAGGUUAGAAGAUGUUGAAAAGAAUACUUCUAUCGCGUAUUUUUUUUUAAUAAUAUAUGUUUGUUUUGGUCAUUUAGUUUACUUAUAAAAUCUUAAUAAAAACAUAAAAUAAUAGAGGUGUGUAUUAAGAGAUUAGAGAUGUGUAUUUAAAAUUUCUCUUAAUCAAUCUCUGUAAUGAUCAAUAAAAACAUAACAAAGUAACUGUUUGCUUCUUUUUGCCUACUUUUUUUUCUUUUCGUUUUGUAUAUGCAAGUUUGCACUUUACAAAUUUGGACCACAAUUCUAUGUGAUUGUUCAACCACUCUAUUCGUAUUUUGUAAAAAUCUAGGGCCUGGUGUUCACAAGGAGGAGGCAACGACGACAACUCCUCAGCCAGCUUUACAUCGUUGUCCACUAGUCGUCUUUAAUUGUUUUUCAUUUCAGCUAUCUGAUUAGGUCUUUUUAGCUCUUCAAUGGCGGCCCUGGUCUCUUUUCCGUUUUAAGAUCAUAUAAAAUCUUGGUCUUGUAAAGUUUCCUAGUACCAAAUUAGAGCUAUGUUUCCUAUAGCUAGGAUCCUUAUUUGGUCGGGGAUGUAAUUUAAGUUUUCUAGUUGAGAUAGGUUUCAAUUUUUUCAUCAAUUUCAUUUUGUUGCCAUUUACUUUUUCAUGUCCUUGUAUCAUUAGGAAUUAGGAUUGGAAUACGCAUAAUUAUAAAUAAAUGAAUAAAAAAUGCAAGUAAUACGCGUAGACAUAUAACCGCGUAGAAGAAAAACGUGUCACAAAGAGGGGUAGUAUCAAGGAGUAAAAUAUCUAAAAUAUCCUCGAUAUUUUCUCGAAAUUUCCGUUUUUUACAAUUACCGAUAUUAAUUUUCAUAUCUUUUCGAUAUUUUAUAUUUAGUCUAUUUUUAGUCGAAUAUACAACAUUUAGAUAAAAUUUGGUAAAAUUUCCAUCGAUAUUCGAUAUUAUCUCGAUAUAUCUAUCAAGAUUUCUUUUUUUCGAACUAUCGAAAUUUCCAUGAUCAUCGAUAUUUUACUCCUUCGGUUGUAUCGGUUGUAUCGCUUAUAAAGGAACAGAAGCACACACCGUCUUUCUCACUUCGCUCUCUCAUAAUUCCAUCCUUCUCAUAAUUCCAUCAUUCCCAAUGUCUCAAUCUUCGCAAACCCUAAUUUGAUCGUCGUUCCCAGUUUCUCAAUCCUUCGCAAACCCUAAUUCGGUCAUUGCUCUCGCUCUUUCAAUAAGCAGCAAGCUUCACCACCCCGAAAUGAUUUUCACUACCACAUCUUCGUCUCUAGCAACACGACCGGCGAGCCCAGCCGGAAAAGAAAGCUCUGGGAGGAUUAUCAUAUGAGCGUCGCGGUUCCCUGGAACGUGACGCGGACCUGCUACUGCUCAGACGAUCACACAAUGCCGAUCGUAGAUCUGGAUUCCCGGACGGCCAUGUUUGACGAUCUGGAGUAUCGGGUGUUCAUGAUGAUCGACGACGACUAUAUUGGCGUGGUGGAUAAGAUGAUAACCUGCAUUGGGCGCCUUAUUAAAUUUUACGAAGGCGUGUCGUUUGAUGCGAUUAACGAGAUGGUGCACCGAAUCCGACGCGUCGUAAUUGAUGAGGCUUAUCGGUCUGGGAGACCACGAAUGGAGAAAUUGAAUGUGAUGGUGACGCUGAAAAAUGAAACCGGGUUGACAUUGGAGGACUACGAAGCCGUGCUUCGGGAUAAUCAAGAGUCAGAGUAACCCCCACUCAGGGUUAGGGUCAUUUUUACCUAGGUAGAAUUGAUUUACUUAAAUUGUAUAAAUUUACCACUUUUUGUAUAGAUGCAUGAUAGAAUAGAAGUAGAACAGUAGUGAAAUUACAUCCAUGAAUAUAUAUUAGCUUUUAUUUGAAUACUACUUGCUCCAGUCCCCUUCUAUUGAGGGAUCCCUAUUUUUGGCCACUUUCUAGGGAUAGGGUAUUACACCACUUCCCAAUUGAAUUUUUAUAUCUCCACCGUUCAUAUCUUAGGUCUAUAUGAGUAGAUCACCUCUACAAAAUUUCAUAUGAUUUGGUGAUCGUUAAGACUUUCAAAAGUUUGAUUUAGUUUUAAUGAUUUUGAACGGUACAGCUUAUGUCAAACUAAAACCGUUGAAGGUCAUUAAAACUAAAUUGAAUUUUUGAAAGCCUUAACGAUCACCAAAUCAUAUGAAAUUUUGUAGAGGUGAUCUACUCAUAUAGACCUAAGAUAUGAACGGUGGAGAUGUAAAAUUAUAAUCGGGAAGUUGGUGUAAUGCCCUAUCCCUAUAAAUGACUUAAAAUAGGGAUCCCUCAUUGGAAGGGCCCUACUACUUGCUCAAUAUCUUUAUCAAAGACUUGGUGUACCAGACAUCGGUGUAGUGUUUCUUCUGUUAGUAGUGAACUAGUGAUACAUAUUACUUGCAUAGACUAUUUUGAUUCAAAGCUCGAACAAUAUCUAGUUUAUGUACAACAAAACUUCUGAAUGAAGAAUAUCACCUGUAUUAGAACCAAUCCAAUAUCCGUUCAAAAUAGUAUAUAUAUAACAAUGAAAUCAAAACGAAAUUGAAAAAUUAACAAUGAAAACAAACAACACUAACUUGAUUGAUCAGAUAGAGGCCUGCCUUGCAGUGACCUAAGACAGAAAUUCGUCCCCACUUGUGCUGCAGUUUCGGAUGUCUAUCUAGAGGAUACAACUAUCUGGUUCAAGUUCUUGCACAAGAACUUGACCCUGGCAAAUUUACUUUAUGCUUAAGAAGAAAUAGUUUUGGGGAGGAAGAAGAAGAAGAAUGAUUUGAUCAAAACAACGACAGAAGUCGUCUUUAUAUAAAAAUCAAUUUGAACAGGUAUAACUGUUCAGACAGACACAACUGCUCAGACAGUUGUAACUGUUUGGACAGUUAUGUCUUUUGAUAUUUAUCCAAAUUUAAUAAUUAAAUUAAAUAAUAUUAAUUUUCAAAAAAUUAAAUUCGGAUUUAAUCAACAGAGCCCAAUCUUUGACUUUUAUUAAAUAUAUUAAUAUAUAUAUAUUUAUUUAUUUAUUUCUAUUGGAAACCCAAUAGAAAGCCCACCAAGCCCAUACUAGACCUAUCAUCCAUUUAAUGAGUCACAUGAGUGUUUCCAUAUAAAGACUCACACAUUUAAUUCUUCUUCAAUGUGGGAUAAAUACCACACAAGUUCUAACAACUUGCAAUGAAACUUGUUCAAAUUAGAAUUAAGAAAGGAAAGAUAUUAUAUUUGGUGAGAGAUACUUUUGUAUAAGAAUGACAAUCAUGAAUAUUAUGCCUACAUAAAAUAAUGAGCAACAGCAGCUGAUCCAAACUAUCACUUAUGUGCAAUAUAUUAGCACACGGUUAGAUAAUAGACCUUCCCAAGCUCUUAUCUGUGUCUUCAUCAUCCUUGCCUUCGGCAAAAUGAAUGUCCCUGGUAAUUUUGAUUCAAGCAUCAACCAACUAGGCACGAAGAAAGGCAAUUCAGGGUCCUUAAUAUCAGCCUCUAAUUGCUUACAAGAGCAGCACUUAUGAAUCGGACAUGUGAAAGAUUCCUCCAGCAUAAUUCUGUUCUUAAGUUCUUUAUCAGAAACUCAAGUCUCAUAUUUUGCAACACAAUGAGGAUGAUAAAACUGACCACACCUUGGAAAAGUGCAAGGGAAGACCCAGUGGCAGACGCAGAAAGUCACGUAAGUGGGGGCAACAAAUUUGAGGCUAAGCAACAUAUAGAAACUGUUCAUUUCCUCUUCCUCUCCGAUCUCCAUUUUUGUAGCUCUUCGACUAGUUAAUCAAUAUACUAUUUUGGAAUAUAUUGAAGUUUUUUUUUCACUAAUCAUAUGAAAUCCUAAUUAGACACUAUAAAAUUGCAGGUUUUUCAUAUCAAACAUCUAAUAUGAACACAUCUAAACAGGCUCAUUGUUCCUUUUAUAGAGAAUAAAGGGAUUCUAAAUUCACUGUUCAUUAAUCUUUCAUUGAAAUGAAAACCCAGAUAAGUAAAAAAAAAAAAACAUGAAAAUUGAUCACCCAAUUAAUUUUGGGCUCCAUCCUUAUUUAAACACCCAGUUUUAAGCUUUUUGGUGUGAUCUACUGAUCCCAUAUAUAACAUAUUAUAUAUAUAUAUAUAUACACGUAGUAGUGGGAUACGGAACGUAAGGGAAAGUAAAUUAAAAAAACAAGACUUUAAGCGCCAGAUGUCAAAAGCUGAGUGAGGGCAGUGGCCCCCGCUGGCCCCCACCUGCGUCAGCCAUUGGGAAGACCUAAUACAGUUAACAUAAAUAAUUUAGUACUAACUUCAUUUUUGUGUGAUUCUGUUCUCACCAAUGUCUUCAUUGGUCCCGCAAAGGACGAACCAUGAACGGGGGCUUGGUCAUCUAUAUAUUAACUAGUCUGCAAACUCCUUUAUAUAGUAAUCAUAGGAAGUGGAUCGUAUUAUCAGAAACAUUGAGUGAUCAUAAGUGCAUUUCAGUUAUGAUAUCAUGUGGUAAUUUCAAAUUUGAUUCGUGAUGCCUUCGACUUGGGAAUUCAAUUUCAUUUGGUGGAUUAUUACCAUGUAAUAUAAGCUAGUUUUUUCGCUUUGCCGUCCGUGAUUGCAAGAACUUGAAAAUAAGAAAUUGUCUAUAGAUCGAGUACACCAUAGCAAUUCAUUUCAUCAAUCAUAAACCCUAAACAACAAUAUUGAUAAAAUUCAGAAAAUUACCAGAAAUGAAACCGAAAAACAAAACAAAUUUUGAUCCAGAAAUCUCGAUUACUAACCCUCAUUUCUCAGAAACUUCUUCAAAUGCAAGAUAAGUGGAGACGUUGAUGUCCUCAAAUGGAUUUCGAAGCAGAGAACCAUAGCCAUGGUUCUCGAUACUAGACAGAUCGAUCAAAGAUCUAGUGCCCAGCAAUAUCAUCCACAUUUCAACUCAUAAACAAUGUUCUUUCACAACCGCACCCACUUUACUGUAGUUAUCUUCAGGUAUAAUACACCGCAGCCGGAAGAUGCCUCCAUCCACCACCGGUAGAGACACCAGCUCGUUCCUUGUUUCACAGACAAAUCAACGGUCGAAAACUUGAGACUAAUCCCUUUUGCAAAUUCCACAGCUUGAGAAUUAUGAAACGACCAGCUUCUAUCCGACGGCAAGCAAAGGGCGGCGGCGUUAACCUUCGAAAGAGUAGGGCAUAUGAUCUGCUCGAAGGGCAAACUGGUGACUCGUACAAACCCUAGCCCUAAGAGAGCAGCCGCGAAUGUUUGUGGGACCUCGAAGGUGGCAGGAACCAUUGGCUUCUUGAAGAAUCUAGAAGCUCCUAGGUCGAAGUCGAGAGAGAAGUUGACGGCGUGAGGACGCAGACUCCGUUUGUGAUCUCGGCGGCAAAGUAGGUGGCUCGGUCUUUGAUUAUAAUGUGGUCUAGUUUUUGGAAUUUAGGGUUCAAGUUAAGAGAACGGGAAAUCACUGCGGUGAGGCUGUUUCAGAAUUUUUGAAAGUCGAGUUCGACGUACGUCAGCUAAUUUAAAGAUAUUAAAAAUUUAAAAUUAUACGAGGGUAAACGCCAUAUAAUUCUUAAACACAUCUUCAUAGAUUUAAUUAUUAAACACAUCUUUAUCAUGAAUCAAUUACUCUGAUAAGGAGGUGGAAGUCACACCCAUCUUAAUUCCUUGAUGUGUUAGUAAAUACCGAAUCCGGAAUUCUCCUGUCAUGAAAUCAAUUCCAUCAUUCUCAAUUUCAUUAUAGGUCAGUAAACGUGCCAUAAACUGUAAUUUAAAUUUGUUUUUGAAGAAUUAAAAAAAAUAUAUAUAUAGGUACAAUUAAAUGAUUAAUAUUAGCUGCGGCACUUGUUUGUAAUUUUCCUUUUUUUUUUCUCUAAAAAAAAACCGGCCCCCUCUACCAACAUCAGCAUAACUCAAGGCCUGAGCCACCCCUACCCCACCCCUACCGUCCUUGUUUACAACGAUGGAUUCCAAAGAAGCUAUCACCAGCCAAACCAACGUCGCUCUAGAGUUUACCAAGCAACUGUUUCUGACUGAAUUCAAGGGCAAGAACAUGGUGUUCUCCCCGCUUUCCCUCCACUUGGCUCUGAGCCUAAUAGCCUCUGGAACAAAAGGUCCUUGUCUAGAUGAGUUCCUCUCUUUCCUCAAGUCCAGAUCCACCCACCACCUCAACUCCUCGCCCAUGACAUCGUCAAUUUCGUUUUAGCCAAUGUAUCACCCAGCCGUCCUGAAAUUGAGGAAAGAUACGGUCCCGGUCCUCUUUUGUCCUUUGCCAAUGGCGUUUGGGUUGACAAGUCUCUUCCUUUCAAACCCUACUUCAAAAACGUAGUGGACACUGCUUACAUGGCGGCUCUAGAAGAAGUCGAUUUUAAGUCCAACCCGAAACAAGUGACUGUAGAAGUGAAUUCAUGGGUAGAGAAGGAGACUAACGGCCUCAUCAAAGAUAUUCUUCCUCCAGAUGCCGUCAACAACCUCACGAAGCUCAUCUUUGCAAAUGCUUUAUACUUCAAAGCAUAUUGGGUUAAGAAGUUUUCCAAAUUUUCGACUAGAAAACGUAACUUCUAUCUUCUGGAUGGGAGCUCGGUUGAAGGAGUUCUUUACAUGAGAGGCGGGGACUACCAAUAUAUAUGUGCCUUUGAAGGCUUCAAAGUCUUGAAGCUUCCUUACCGAAAUCUUGGAGUUUCGCCCUGGAGUUUCUUUAUGUACUUUUGCCUUCCGGAUGCAAGAGAUGGGCUGCCAGCUUUGGUAGAGCAAGUUUGUUCUGGAUCCAGAUUUUUGGAGGGCUGUGUUCCUGAUGAAGAGCUUUAUGUUGGUAAAAUGUUAGUCCCAAAGUUUAAGAUUUCUUCUGGUUUUGAAGCUUCAAAAGUCUUGAAAGCAUCAGGCUUGGUGUUGCCUUUCAGUUUUGAUCCUGUUAAUAAAGGAGGUAAUGUGAGUGAGAUGGUCGAGUCUCCCUCCGGUGACGAUCCAUAUGUAUCAGCAAUGUUUCAUAAGUCGUGUAUCGAAAUUGAUGAAGAAGGUACUGAAGCUUCAGCUGUGACUGCUCAAAUAUCUGGUGGGCGUGCUCCUCCUGUGGAAAUAGACUUCGUGGCGGAUCACCCUUUCAUGUUUUUCAACAGAGAAGACAGUACAGGAACGGUGUUGUUCAUGGGGACUGUGCUCAAUCCCCUUGCUGGCUGAUCCACGUUCACCCUGCUACUAGCUAUGUUUGUAUGUCUUUCCUGCUUGUACGUGUUUGUUUAUUUCGAUUAUUAAUUUCAUGCUUUUGUUUGUUGUUUAGCCAUCCUUUGUUCGGUACGGUGAACAUAAAUUAUGGAAUAUCAAGUAGUUUCUAUCAGAUUAAUGUCUGUAUUUAUGUUGGAAGUGGUGCUUUUUCAUUCCCUCGAUCUUUUUCUUACGAGUGGACUACUCUGAAGUCUGACCUCAGCAUAUGCUGACAUUGCUGAUUCUCAUGUGAGUUAUUUAGUUGACAUUUGUUCACUGAAAAUCUAUUCCUCACAUUGCAUGAGAUCUAAGAGAUCAAUGGCAACCAUUUCCUACGAUGCGAGGCCUAAUCUUCAAGCAACUACCAACCAUAGUACCUUUUAAAUUAGUUGUUUUAAUCAACUCAUUAAGGAUAGUUUAGGCAAAACAUAAUUUGGUGAAUUUCUUAAACGCCUGGCUUUAUAAUAGUAGAGAUAUGAGUAACUGCAAUUUGGAAUUUAGAAGAACAAUGUUAAUGCACGUUUGUUUCGCGGGAUAGGACUGGACUGGAGUAUCUUAUCUAAGAAAAUAACGCUGGUCCCGUGUUUGGCUGAAACAGGGACUCAAUUAAAUGAGCAUAGAGAGAGUCCCCGAAACAGCUUCACACCUCCUUCUUACAUAGAGAGCCCAAAAUUCAUACAGGCAUGUCUCUUUAACUUGUAUACUGCUAUUAGUUGUAGUUGUAGGAUAUUAUACUAAUCAUUGUUAGAAGUAUAGAACUUUGAUAAUUUGUGGGUUUGCUCAAAAUGGGCAAGGUGAAGAAGCUCUUAAUAUAUUUGGUGAGAUGAUUGAGGAGGAGAUGAAGCCUGACCAUAUAUAUCAGCUUUAUUGGGGUUCUCUUUGAUUGUAGUCAUGCAGGUCUAGUUGAUCAAGCUGAUGGAAUGAUGCCGUGGAGAUCAGUAAGCUAUAUCUUCUAGCUAAUGUAUACAGAUCAGUAGGCCGAUGGAAUGAUGCCAUGUGCCAAGCUGCUGCAAUAUAGAGGAGUUAAGAAGACUCAAAGAAAUUAAGCUCUUUAGUCCUUUCAGUACCAAACAUGGGUCAAGUGUUAGCAGAGAAUAAGCCAGGCUAGACUAGUCCAGGAUUGUCAGGACUGUCAAAGAAAUUAAGGUGAGCAUAGACAAUCCUGUGAAACAAACAUGCAGUUAAGGUUUUGUUGAAUAAUGUUUUUUUUAUUAAUAACUCACACACCUUACAUAUGUCAAUGAUGUUUUGUUGAAUAAUAUACAUAUGAGUAGUGUAAUAUUUUUGCUGAUGCUCUCUUCAAUUUCUUGACUAUCCCAAUGGGAACAAAUUGUUAGGCUCUCUCAUACUUCACAAUGUUUGGAAUUGGUUUCAUGGCCAACAUCAGAGGCUUAGAGUUUUGAUUUGGAAUUUAUUUAUUUAUUUUUGAAACAGGGUUUGGAAUCUAACCUAGCUGAGAGGCUCAGCCUCAUGCCUGGUUCCAUUUGAUUUGAAACUUUUGAACUGAAAUAAAAUUCCAAAACAUGAGAAAGGCAUCUCCAAUGGAGAUGUCAAAAUUUAUUGUCAAAUUCAAAAUUUGACAUGUGACAAGACAAAAAUAACAUUUGAUAAUUUGGCUAAUCUCAUCUUCAAUAGAGAUGUCAAAUUUGAAAAUUUACCAUACAUUAAACAAUUAUUUAAAGGAGUAAAUAUGGUGUGCAUAUAUAUUACUAUAGGAGAAACAUAAAGAGAGUGAAAAAAAAUAUUUCACAUUGCCUUUGAUCAAUGUAAAAUUUGACAUUUCCUUCCCUCAAUGCCAAUUACACUUGUCAAAUUUGACAUUGCCUAUUUGGUUGGAGGCCAUUGACAAUGCCAAAUUAGAGCCGUUAGGCUGAGGUGUCUAAAAUGCAUAUUCGGAUGGAGUUGUUUAAAACUGACCCCUGAUGGUGUUACUUGUGUAAGUUAUUUUUAAAAUUUUAAUUGUUUUCCAGAAAUUGGAAGUAAUUCCUUGAAUAACAAUGUUAGAUUGUAGGUCUUGUUGAAUAACAAUGUUUUCCAGACGGGAUUUUGCUGAUGCCGUCUUAAGUUUCUUCCAGUAUCCCAAUUUGAAACAAAUGCGGUUCCGCUAGUAUCUUGGGAGAUUUUCCAGACCUACCAAGGGACGAAAGACACCCAAGAUGGUGAUUUACAUGUAGGAAUAGAAUUGUUGGUCUUUCUUUCUCAUACUUUGCUUUGAUUGUAAUCGGCUGCAUUGAAGCCUAUUCGAAAUAAAGAAUGCCAAUACAUGUUGUUUCUUCCCGCAGUUGGUAUAUAUAUGAAGCUCGCUGAAAGAAAAUAGCUCUCUUGUUUUUUGUUUUGUUUUUAUAAGGUAAAUUACAACUGCGUGAGUCGAAUUCACAACCUCUCACUUACUAAAAGAGAGACUAUGUCACUAGACCAAAUGGUAAUGAGCUCCCUUAUCUUUCUCAUCUGAAUGGAAAAGAGAUUUCCCGUAAAAUUUUCCAAUGUUUGGUAACACACUGAAUAUUAGACAAGAUUGUUAAAAAUCCUGUAAUAAAUGCAGGAGUUUGGACAUAAAGGAGGAAAGUGAUUUAGAGUUUGGAAAGAAUCACACUUACCUUCCUAUUAUCCCUUAAUCCAGGAGAAUAUUUCCUUUCCUUUUGCAAAGCAGGAAGAUUUCACUUUUCGCGACCAAAAAAAGGUUGAAAGUACUCGAUAUGAAGAAAUCUCACUAUAAAAUAAAAGCAAUUAAGUAAAGGACCAAAUAGCUAAGGGUAGACAGAUAAACAGAGGUUUGACGAACUUUCAAAAUAGAAAGAAAAGUUUGUUGUUCGUCUUUCACAUUAAAAAAAUAAAUAAAUAAAUAAAAUAAAAUAAAAUAAUUCUACUAGUUUUCAAUAACAAAGAUAAUUAUUUAUAGUUAUAGACUCUACCUUUCCUAAUUUAAGCUCUUCAGAGCAAUUCUAUUUUCAUGUACUUUACAUUUCAGCUCUCGCACUGCAAUGUACCCUUCUUUCCCUAGCUAGUUGCUUACAUGCAUUUCAAGUCAUCAAGUCACCUUUCAUUGACACGGGUAUGGUAAAAAAGAACCGUCUCUCUACAAUGUUCCUCUCUUCUCAUUUCAUUCUAUGAUCCUACAUAUGUUUGCAACCAUAUUUAUAUGGAGCUGUAAUUAUAGACUUUACUUGAACCUACUUAACAGCUAAGCAACCAGUCUCUUCCACCCUGCUCCCAUCUCCAAAAGAAUUGACCUCAUUGUCCAGCUGUGAGGAGACUUCAGAAGCAGUGUCAUCAAUACUCAAGUUUGAAAUUUCACCACCAAGGGAAGUAGAGCCUUCAUCUUCGCUGCUGAUUGAUGUUGCAGGUGAUACAUCCGCAGGUGAUGGAGAUGCUUCCGAGCCAUCAACUGGUUGUUGCAGGCUCCAAAACAUAAUGCUGGCUGUUAGGGUCAGAAGCAUCUUCUGAUUCACCUGCCAUAAGAUCACACAUGUCAUAUGAACCAAAAUUAUAUGUCAAUGACAACCGCUACUACCACCAACAAUUUGUGUGUCUAGAACAAAUAAAUAAACAAUUGACCUUUGGCCACGAUUCACAUAAAUGACUCUUUGCUAUUCAAGAAAGUCAGAACUCAUAUGCAAGUGCAAUUUUGAUCUUUCCCACAAAUUGUCUGACUAUCUAACUCAUAAAUAGAAAAGAAUGGGAAAUGUUACUUCUUCAGGCUCCUAGAAUUAAAUGAGAUGAACGAACAAACCAAACAAUUAGAUUUGAAAGUUCGACCAAAAAAAAGAUUUGAAAGGUUUUCUUUUUACCUCCAUGAUGUCCUCAGGCAACAAGAAAAUGGAACAACCAAGCUUUCGCGCAACACUGACUAUGUAUGUAGCAUUUAACUUCUUUUCAUCAGCUAUUAUUUCACAAAAGAAAAGCAGACUUAUCUGAUCAGUACUUUCGUCCAAAUCGAGUUCUUUGUCAAUUGAAAACAAUAAUCCUGCAAAAAAUCUUACCACUAUCACCCUUGGUAACAAGGUUCCAAUUGACAACCCUAGGCUCCACAGCACUGAGAAGCUCAAGGAAGAAAAUCCCAUUCGACAGGCUCUUAUCCUGGAUAAAUCAAAGGUUUCAGAGCCAAAAGUUAUCAUCUAUGAAAUUUGAUCUCAACCAACUCAACUCAAAAUGCAGAUGCUUUGGUCUAUUUGAACCUUAAAACUCUCCAUUUGAGAAGUUCGGCCGGUGCUAUUAACUUUGUUGUUAGCCCACUUUAAAAUAUCUGUAUCUGUCAUCUCCUUUCCUCGAGAGUGAGAUCUUAGAUUCUUCAAGAGUUGAAGCAUAUUAAACCUCAUCAACUGCCAUAGAAAAGCUGAAACAGAGAAAAACACAAUAUUAGCAUUUAAUUCUCAAGCAACCAAGAAAUAGCAACACAAAAACAACCGACACUUGGAAACUCCAGUUGACAUAAAGAAACAAAACCAUGUUUCAUUAUUUUGGGAGUAUCAAACAAUUGCAGAAAAUUUUUGAGAAGAGAAAGAAGAAGAAGCUUUAAAGUUAGGUCAGCUGAAGAAAUAAACUUGUUAACCCAGAUUAUGCAACUCAUCAAUGGCUACAUCAGUGCGUAAACAUGUCUUCAAAAAUAAUGAAGCUGAAAUUUGUUAAUGAAAUAAAAAAAAAGCUAUUGAAGCCUGUAAAGGGAAAGGCAUUGACAGAGAAGUUGACAUCAUCAGGCAGAGUACAAAAUAAAUCGGUCUAGAUGUUAAACUCGAAAGUAACGCAGAUUGUAUUUGUUGGUACGCAAAUUGAUAAAUGUAGAACAUUACCGAGUAUGAGCUUCUUAUUUCCCUGCACAAUAUCAUUUCCAGCUACAUUCACCAGAGACAAUUUGAGCUGCUUCCCAAUCCUUACAACCUGAUUGCAAUUCUCUACUUUCCUAAAUGGCAUCUUGAUUGGUGGCCUUGAUGCUUGCUUCCAGUUAACUGAUCCUGGAGAAACCUUAUCAAGCACCUCUAAGAGAAUCCAUCUGCAUUCAAUACAUGCAAAUGUUACAAUUAGGAACCGAAAUGUUAUUUAGUUAAGGCCAUCAUUAUAUGUGUCCACAACUUAAGAAACUUGGCAUCGGCAUCUAUGCUUCUUGAAUUAUCACUCAACUUCAUAUAUUAUUAGCAACUUGACUACAAUACUCACCCAUUUAUAGAAUAUUUUCUUCUUGAAUACAUAACUUGAUAAGAAAUUCAAAUAUAGGUAUUGCCACUGUUCUGACUUAAAUGUGGAACACUCACCCAUUUCUCACAUCCUCAAAUACAUUAUUAACAUAAGUCGCAAUGCCUAGACUGUUGAUCCACAGCCUGAAGCAUCUCUCUUCUCGUGAUGUUUGAACAUCAUCUGUCAUCAUCUCUGCAAAAGAUAUCUUUUUGCUAUCUGUAGUGAGGCCAUUCCUGUACAAGGUGUACUCUUAAUCAACAAUUCAGUUGAGAAAAAUAGCCAAUUUGAUAUGAGUACACACAUAACACAGUUGUUAUCUCAAUAUUCCAAUGUCAAUUAAUUGCUCCCCUGUCAGAGAGUCUGGUCUCAUGGUCUCAAUUGCCACAACCUAACAAGAUCAAAAGUCCUAAAUGAUGACUGCUAAUUACUACAGAGAAAUGGUUCGACAAAUUUUGUUGACAAUUUAUCAUAUGCAGAAUUAACUAGUACGCCUAAGCUUACUCCAAUACUUCUUAACUUUGUCCCAGAUGAUAUAUGUUUCCCAAAACAAAGAAAGCACAAAGUUACCUUCUAAAACAAAAGAACUGCCUUUCAAAAAAAAAAGCAAAAAAAGAACUGAUAGUUACUGCGGACCUUUCGUGGAAGAUCUGUGCCACAAAUGCCAGAUUUAAGUUUGAAGAACCCUCAAGAAUGUCUUUUGGGGAUAAAUAUCUUUUGCAGUUCAUUCUCUCAGCAUGAUCAAGAACCAACUUUGCUCUUUCGUCAGGUUUGGCAUCCAAUGUGGCUGGAUUGCAGUGUUCUGGAGCAAGGACAUUAAGUAGGUACGCAUAAGCCUCUCCAUCCUGUACAUAAAUUACAAACAAGAAAAAUAUAAUCAGUUUAUACAAUUAUAUUCGAUAAUAUUUAUAACAUACCAAUAAAGCUGCUGCAGCUUACUGUUGGACUGAAGGAAGUGGGAGGUGCAUACUACACAAGACUAUAUAGAUUCAUUAAGAGUAGGUAAACUGGAACCACGUUCCCAUUUAAUUCAGCACUAGUCCUCUCAUGUGUUCUGUAUGUCUAUUAAAUCACAAGUUUUCAGGUGCUUAUAUGUUGCCAUGCUUUGUCCCAGAAUAGAACUUUGCACCAUAACUUCAGUUUAGACAUGCUAAUACAGAUAAUCUAGCAUGAUCCAUAUAUAGAUAUCCAUAUAUGACUCACUGAUAUAUCCUACCACUACGUAUGCCCUGGAAGUCAUAGUCAGUCUGCGACUUACAUGCUCCUAGAAUAUGCAGAAUGGAUGACGAUAAAUACCUUCAGAUCAGAAGAGAAGUUCGCAACUGCCUUCUUGUAGCCUGCUUUCUGGAGAUGGAAAUUCAUCCAUUUCAACAAGACCUUCUCAGGUGGUAAACUCAAAAGCUCUUCAACAUCCUGUGAGAUACCAGAACAUAACUUCAAUGUCCUUCCAAAAAGGACACAUAUACACAUUUAUAAAUAGAGCAACAUACCAUGGACUAAUAGGUACAAAAACAGAAAAGAAGAGAUGCUCAAACGCAUUACCUUGCUAUCAUCUACCAAUUCCACAAGCUGAGGAGUCUUCUUAAGGUUCAGAUCUGCCAACAGUUGGAUCUGAAAUUGCCAUAUUAAAUUCGUGCAAGAACAAAGGGGGAGGAAAUAGCUGAUUACUAUAGCAAGUACUGUUUCUCCAUCAAUACACUAGAGUAUGUGUCAAAACUUCAGUUGCUUACCUUUAUUAUUUGUGAAAUCAAUCCCAAUACCAGAUGAGGCUGCAAACAAACAACCAGACUGUAAAUUCUAAAACUUCAAAUAUAUCAUAUCAAACUAUUAUUAAAGCAAAAAUAAACAAAACAUACUCUUCCUUCAACGAGGUCUUGUGUGCCAAUAUUAACCACCGUGCAGCCAAUAGCCUUGGCAGAGUUGAGGCAAAGAGUAUGGUUUUCAUUCCUCUCCCAGGGGUUGAGGACUCGUUUGGUGUUAAUUGCUCUUUCAUCUAUUGUCCCAGGCACAGCAACAUUUAUAAGCUUACUGCAAUUAAACCAUUACAUGAAUAACGCAAGACAAAAUGAAACCUUUAUCUGAGGUAAAUAUGUAGACAAUAAUCAAGUAAGUCAAAUUUGUAUACCAUAAGAGAACUCCAUCUUUUGCAAGAUUGAAUAGAUCAUUUGUAGCUGGGUCCAAUGGGAGAAACUGCUGUAGAAAUGGGUCAUCCCCGAGAUAACUGUUUAUGUGAGCAACAUAAGAUGCUUUCUCUGAUUCACUGAUAGUGUGAAGUAGAGUAGUUGUGGAAGCCUUCAAGAAUGACCAAGAGUUUUUUGCACCACCAGAUUUUGCUGUUGUUUGACCUUGCAAAUUCAAGUAUGCCUGUGUAUUUGAUGCAACUAAUUAACAUGGUAUCUCCUAUAAAGCAACACAAUUUUACAUGAAAGCAAAUGACAUAACAUGUCACAUACUCCAGAUUCCAGAACAAUAAACCAAACAAAAAAAUUGUGUGUGUUUGCCCGCAUGUUUUAGAAUUAGAGAACAGAAAAUGACUCACCUUAAGGAAGGAUUCAAAGUCAAUUUCAGCACUCAAGUUAGAACCCAACCCACUUAAGAUGUUCCUAAUCUCCUCCUCAGUAUGCGUUUCUUUAAAUGCCUUUGAUGUCACCAUUAAAGCUGGCAAAUCUCCAGCAGUGACUAUGCCAUUCUGAUUCUUCACUGAAGUAAACUGACCGAAACAACAGCAGAGGAGCCAAAAUCACACAACGUCCUCUAAUAUCAUACUAUAACAACAUCCAAAUAAACUCCUACUUAAACAAUAAAUGAUCAAGGAACAGAAUAUACGUACUUUGGAAUGCAAACUGCGAAGCUCAACCUGCGUGAACUGGCUUUGAAGCAACUGAUCAGAAAUGAGAACCCCUGUAUAACUCGACAUCUCCACCAAUUGCCAAGCGGAGAUGAAACCUACUACACCCUGUUUAACUCCUCCUAAAAAUUCCGCAACUAAAGAACAUAACCCAGCACGGGUACUUUCAAAACCACUGUCAGGACCCGACUCCAAUCACAUCAAAUCUGCAAAGCGGUUGUCCUACUCUGCUCCUAAAUAUAGAUCAACAAAUGAUGCCAGAUUAGGGAGUGCAUUCAUCUAAAAUCACGAAACAUCAAUCGAAGAUGCCAAUCAAAGAUAUUAUACCAACAUUAGGACUAUGAAUUGCACCAAAACAUAGGGAACACAAGAUCAAAAACUUCCCAGAAAUGAAAAUACAUAGACUUUAUUUAUUUGCAAACAAAAUCAAGUUCUGAUGUAUUUCUUUCUUUGAAAAUUGUUGCGAUAACCAUGCAAAUCAAUGCAAUACUGAAAACUCAAUCAGAAAUUCGAUGAAUACACACACACAAGUUCCAAAUACAAUGAAACAGUAAACACACAACACAUGUGACAUACCAAACAUAAAUCAUGAACAGAAACAAAACCCAGCAACAUAAGAAUUACGAAAACCAAACCCAAAUCCAGAAAACGGAAGAAGUGGCCAAAGACCAAGAAGUACACACACCCACACCAGUAAUCAGUAAUUGAGUAAUGUCAAAGAGUAGUAAAUCGUUGCGUGCGCUUUCAUUCUGAAACACUUUGAGUUGACAAAAAUGAAAUAAAAAAUGAAUCGAAACCCAAUAAAGAAAGCGUGAAAACUACGCAAACCCAGAAACUGCAUACCUCUUAUCAAAAUCAACACCAUCCACUCAUGAAUAUGAAUUACUUUCUCUCGAAAUCUUGGAAUGCAGAGAACAAGAUGGGGUUGGGAGGAAGGGGAGGAUUAAGAGAGAGAAACGGGAUCGAGGUUUCUUCACGGGAGAGCAAAGUGAGAAACGGAGAGGUGGGAGGGGGAGUCGCUAAGACCAAAAAACCGAAGACAGCAGAGAGGUGACUGGCAGCGCAGCGGUUAAGGGUACGCGCGCGAUUAUGAGAAAGUGUGGUGGACUCGCUCUUGCUGUUGUCCAACGCGGUGUGUGUGGGUGUCAACUGUUUGGUUGUAUCUACGACUCUAUCGUCGUGGGGAUCGCUCUCUCACUUUUAUCUCUUUCUUUUUUGCGUCUCAUAUAUGGCGUCUGUUUAAUACAAAAUUUUUAGUUUUCUCAACAUGGGACUCACGCUCUCUCAUUUGCCAAAAAAAACAAAAUUGCAUAAGAGAUUGAUAUUUUUGUCUUUAUUUUUAUAUUUUUUAAGCACUGAUCAAUCUUAUUCAUAAAUCACAAUACUCAAAAAUAGAACGAUGAAUUACAUGUGUCAAACACCAUCUUUUUUGCCUCUCAUAUAUCAUGUAUGACGCCUGUUUAAUACAUCAAUUUUGAGUCUUCUCAACAUGGGAUUCACGCUCUCUCAUCUCAUGCCAAAAGAAAACAAAAUUGCAUAAGAGAUUCAUAUUUUUGUCUUUAUUUUUAUAUUCUUUAAGCAUUGAUCAAUGUCAUUCACAAAUCACAAUACUCAAAGAUAGAACGAUGAAUUACAUGUGUCAAGAACCGUCUGUUUUAAUGACACAUAAGUCUUUCGUUUGUUAGUGAAAGAUCGUGACUAUAUACCUGUUGUGGCAUAUCAAAUAAACAACUGAUCAGAAAAACAUUGUAAUACAUACUUUUUUAUUGCUAGAGUGACAUGCAAAGCAUAUAUUUUAUAUGAGAUAAGUACCAGUGAUAGAUGUAUCUAAAUUCUGAAACCUGUCUAGGCUAAUUAGAAGUGAUAUAGGCUAUUUUAUAUGGGAUAAGUACCAGUGAUCGAUGGCUCCAAAUUCUGAAAUCUGUCUAGGCUAAUUAGAAAUGCAAAAAAAAAGAAGUUAGAAUUUCUCGGUACAUAUUCUUUUCAUAUUUUAAGGUUCGGCACCCUAUGGGAGACUCGUCAGAGGAAAUUUAUUUUAAAGACACACUAACGAAAGUGUAGAACUAUAAGAGAUAACAUUUUAAAAUUUCUUUUCAAUUAAAUGCUAAAAGAAAAGUGGAAUAUUGAUCAACAAUGAAGAAAAUAUUUUAACCUAAGAAGGAAGGUGAAGAAAGUGGGAAGGAAGAAAAAACAUGCAAGGUAAUAUGUAGCUUAACAAAAGAAGAGAGGAAGGAUAUGUAAAGAAGAGAGGAAGGAUAUGUGUGUAGAUAACAAAAGUAGAGAGGAAGAAAAGAAGAAGUAUUUUACCAAAGAAUAAAAGAAGAAGAAAAUGUGGGAAAAACAGAUAAAAUCAUCCGAAUAUGCUUAUAAAAGUAGUCAAACCUUUAACAAGGAGAAAAAAAGGAUGGACAAAUUGCCUACUGAACCAUAGUUGCUAUGUUAACCUUUGGGUACUUGUUUAUUAUAUACUUGAUAAAUUUCUUGUUAUAUUAGGCUACAGCCUAGACAGCCCACCACAUGGAUUCGUCUUGUGAUAGUAGUAUCAUCCAUUCGACAUUUAAGUCUCGCUUAAUCAGGAUUAGACAUGAGAAUCCGGUGGUCUUGUGUGAAAGUUAAAAUGAAGCUCUACUGAAUGAAGCUUUAUUUAGUAUAUGAGAAUUAUUAGUACUACAUGCGUUUCUAUUUUAAGUUUCGUACAAGGCCGCUGAAUUCUCAUGUGCGGGUUGGUAUUUCAUGUUUGCAUCUAGGAGAGUAAAGAGCAGUGAGGUCUUGCUACUUACUAAAAUAAAAAAUCACGUUUGAACCUAAGACGUUGUUUGCAAAAGAACUAAGUUAAUUGCUUGUAGACCAAGUAGACCAAGAAUUAUUAUCUAUCAUAAUGCUUUUAAAACAUAUUUAAAAUGUAAACGCAAUCCUAAAUUGGGCUUGUCGGAUUAGGGGCCUUGUGCGGCCGCACAACUUGUACAUCCCAUGGUCUGCACAAACCAGAAUAUAACAAAGCGCAUUAAGUGCAUUAACCGAGACUAAGACCGUGUUUAGGUAUUACUUUGUUUUUUUAUAAAUAGCUCUUAUCUAAAACUUUUAUAUUUUAUAGAGUUUGGUAAAUUAAUGAAAAACAAUUUUUUUGUUUUAUGAAUAUUACAAGUAACUGGCACAAAUUUAUGUACGGUUGGAAUUUUGGGCUGAAGAUUCAGCUCCACUGAGUUGUACCAAAGCAACCUACGGUAUGGACAUAUGCAUACCGCACUUGAGCCGACCGUCGAUAUAGUACACCGACCUUAUACGAAUACAUACGCAACUUUUACCAAACCAAAUUAUAUUUUGGUAAGGGGCACGGCUAGGGGUUAAACCUUGAACCCCUUACGUAUAACCUCAGCUCCCUACCACUAGAGUAGAAGAUACUAGGGCGGCCCAAUUUGACGUAGUUGUGCUGUGAGUAGAAUUGUUUUUAAAUAUGGGGUGUGACUAGAAUAACUUUUGGAUAUGCUAUGAGGAAAAUCAGCCAAGUGUUUGGUAAACUGUUUUUAAAAGUGUUGUAAAGACCAAAUGUUUUUUUGAUGGAUAAUAAACAAAUUACAAAGAGAACCCUCGCUCACACCUGCCCCCAUAAAGAUCAAGCUGGAAGGCGGUAGCCGAGGAAAGAGGAAGAGAAGAAAUUCAUAGUUGAGGACUAGUACAAGAGUGUCCUAAUUUAGCUAGACUAUCAGGUAGAAAGUUUGCUUCUCUCCAAACAUGUUUAAAGGAAAUAGACUGAAAAUGGGAUGAUAAAACUUGGAUAUCUCGAACCAGCACUUUAAGGCGUCAUGAAAUCUAACAACGACCAUUGAGCGCAUCUAGGAGAAGCUUAGAGUCUCCUUCUACAAUAAUUGGUUGAGUAGUGUAGGUAGCAAGCAGCUGCAGGCCAGCAUGGAGAGCAACAGCCCAUACAUAUCUAGAAUGUUUGUUAAAUGAUUUGUAAGUAAAAAGUGUUUUCAGCAGGUAUAAUAACCAAGCUCAUACAUAUUAAAAAUGCAUAUGAUUUGGUUGACAUUUCAAGUAGUAAUAACUGAGGUAAAGUCGUCCGCCCUACCAUCACCUCGUCGAUUCCGACGAGUUCAAACCCUAAAACGAUGCUUCACGGUAACAUCGUCGUAUAUGGAACUGUCGAGGUAUUGUGAAUACGGAGACCUAGAAAGCUCUAGUGACUAGUGCAGGGCAAGAAACCAAGUAUCAUCUUCCUCUCAGAAACCCUAACAAAAAAAAAAACCACCACUGAAAACGUCACACAAAGAGAUUCACAGACUCCUUUUGUGUUCCUCAUGAAUCGAAUUCUCGAGACGUCGCCAUCAUGUGGAAUGAUGAAACACAUGUAGAGAUCAAUUUCAGUUCAGCAAAUCAUACUGACACCAUUGUAGGCAAACAUGGGUCGAGUUUAUGGUGUUUCACAGGGAUUUGACAUUACGUCUAAGGGAGGAUGCGAUCGCAUUUGGAAUCUAAUACGGUCACUCGAUGAUCAACAAUAUGCCCUACCAUGGAUCAUGACAGGAGAUUUCAAUGAAGUGAUAUGGAUAAGAGAUAAAUCGGGAGGCAAUCCUAGAGCUCUGAUAGCAAUGACAAAGUUCAGAAGAGCGAUGAUCUAUUCUGAUCUCACAGACAUGGGGUAUGUGGGCAGUAAGUUCACUUGGUAUGGCCUUUAUACCAAAGAAAGAUUAGAUCGUGGUUUUCAAUCCCAAGCUUGGAAAGAAAUGUUCCCAUGCAUGCAGCUGAGUUAUCACACUUCCACUUUCGGAGUCAGAUCAUUGUCCGCUAUUGAUUGAGGUGAGGAAUGAUAGAACACCAUAAAGACGCAGUAAAAAGCUCUUUAGAUUUGAUCAAAAUUGGUUCGGUACAGAGGACUGUUUGAAAAUCAUUCAACAAGAAUGGGCAAGGCCUUUGUCAGGCAAUGCUUUAGCACAACUGGGAAACACAUGCAGGGCUAUUUGAAACAUGCUUAUCACAUGUUUUCAUGCAAAUAAAACUAUUAGAAACCAACAGUGCAUAAUUAGUUUCUAGUAACCUUGAGUCAUCUUGUAGCCUUCUUUUGAGUGUUUAUGUUGGUUUUCUUGGCAUGGGUGCCAAAUGAAGAUCAAUAACAUCAUUAUGUUGGGCUUCAUUGUACCCAAAGACAUUUUUGAUAAAUCCCCUUUGCACGCUUGAUAGUGGCCUAAUGGGGUAAAUAAUGUCUUAAGAAAAGCGUUGCUAUAACGUGUCUUAGAAGCAUAAAUUUUCUCAUGAUCUAGACCCACUAAUUUGUUCUAACAUAACUUUCACUGAUUUGUUUGCUAUUCUUCAAUUGUGAGUGGUUUCAUUUUAACUUUAUAAGGGACUGAACUAGUAAACCACUUCUUGCUGCCUCUAGAAAUGAUGGUACCACAACUAACCCGCUUAUUGUAGAAGCUUUGAAUUUAAGAGAUGGUAUUCUUUGUGCCUAAUAGUAGGGUUUCAAGAGAUCAAAAGUUGAGGGAGAGUCCUAGUUGGUCAUUGAUGAUGUUGUUAAUAUUGGUGUUACUUAUUCCCCUUGGAGACUUCGUAAAAAUAUCGAUCCAUAUGAUAUAAUUAAGAACUUUUUCUUCCUUUUUUGAUGUAAUUUCUCUUAGACAUGUGUUUAGAGAAGUCAACUUCAUUGCUGAUGCUAUGGCUAAUCUCGCUCAUUCUUGUAGUAGUCUUAAUACUUGGACUAAUAGGUCGAGUUCAUAUAAAUGUUUGUAAAGGUUAUACUGAUAAUUAUUAUAAGAAAACGAGAAAUUUUUUUUUCCCCAAUUUAUACAUAUAGAGGUUCAAAAUUGUACUCCGAGAUAUUCUCCUCAUUUAUUAUGUUCAACACAUAUUAUGUUUAUUACUUAAUUAUUACGACAAUUCAUGUUAUACACAUAAAUUUAUAGACCUCCAAAACUACCACUACUACACAACUCAUUCCAUAGCUAAAUAGCCUAAAUUACAGGCUAUAAAAUGGUAAACUACCACUAAUAUAACAAAAAGAAUUAAAAUUUGUUUAGUCAUUUUGGUUUGAAGUCGACAUCUGUUUAGUCCUUAUGGUUUUAUUUUAAUCUGAAUAGUUCUUAAAGUCACGAUUUUUCAUCCAAAUAGUCAUUCUGUCAAUUUUCUCAGUUAAAUUGCUGACAUGGCCUUUAACUGAGAAAAUUGUCGAAAAGACUAUUUAGAUGAAAAAUCGUGACUUUAAGGACUAUUUAGAUUAAAAUAAAACUAUAAAGACUAAACAAUUUGGAUGAAAAAUCGUGACUUUAAGGACUAUUUAGAUUAAAAUAAAACUAUAAAGACUAAACAAAUUAAUGUCGACUUUAAAUUAGAAGAACUAUACAAUAUUUUACCCUAACAAAAAACAUGAGAUAAAAGAGGAUAAAGCGGCAAUGAGGGGGGUAAAACGGUGAGAGGUAAAGAGGAGUUUGGAUUAGGUAGGGAUAUGUAGGAAAUGAUAGAUUUCUUAUUGAAAUAUGGCAUGUACGUGUUUUGCCACUUAAUACCAUUAUAGACGGUGCAUUAAAAUUGGGUCGGGGUCACAACUUGGAGUAUACUAAUUAAUGUGAUAAUUUCUAUAAGUGAUAUGAAAGUUUAGAUAAUUUGGAUAUCAUUGGGUCGAUUUUCUCUUCUUAAUUAAUAUGGAAGACGAUAUCCUAAUGACUGCCACAAGGGGAAGCUUUCGGUUAAAAAAGAAAUUUGUUAAAGUUACUAUGUUUACAGAUUCCCUCAAUCAGUUUGCAAUCAUUGGAUAAAGAUUUAUAAAAGAGAACAUCCAAAAUAUUUCUAAAUUUGGUGAAAAACUGAGAUUUCUAUUCAAUACAGAAAAUACCUAAGCAAUACAUAGAACACCUAUAAAUAAAGCUCUAAAACUCACUGACGGACACUGACGGAAACAAAACAUAAACAAUGUCUUUGUUUAUAAAGAGCUCGAGCAUGGUUAUCGAAUGUGUGAGUUUAUUGUUGUUGGUAUUACUCAUCAACAAUGUUCAAGCUGCUCGGAUCCUUCAAGCUCCGAUGAAAACUUUCGAUGUAAACCAAUAUGGUGGUGUUGCAGAUGGAAAAACUGAUAACAGCAAGGUAUUUAUUCUCAUAUCUUAAUAACUCAUACUACAGAUUACGAUGAAAGUUUCAUUUUUAUGCAUUCAUGUUAAUUUUUCUUUUGCAGGCUUUUAUUGCUGCAUGGAAUGAAGCUUGCAAAAACAAUGGAGGUGGCGUGGUCUUAUUUCAGAAAGGGACAUAUUUAGUGAACCCUUUGAUGAUAGAAGGCUCUGCUUGCAAGGGGCCAAUGGAGGUGCAGAUCCAGGGCACCUUAUUGGCUUCAAAAGAGUACCAGUACUCGGUCGGUAUCGACCAUUGGAUCCUCUUCCGAUACGUCGCAAACUUGGUGAUAAGUGGUGGAGGGACGUUGGAUGGCCAAGGAGCCUCUGCUUGGCCCUAUAACGACUGCAUCAAAAACAAGCAAUGCAAGGCACUGCCUGGGGUAAGUUACUAUAUAUACUCGUUCAAUAUGUAAUUUCAUAUACCUAAUCAGUUAGGUCAUGCAUUGGAGCAGAAGUUCAGUACGUAAGGCUAACAAAUGAGGUAGAUAUAUAGUGCAAUUGCAGUUCAUCACUCUGCACAAGUUUUGCUCGCAUUAGAGAUUGCAAUCUCCCUCCACAUACUAAUUAUUUUGGUCUAAUUCAACAAAGUUCGUUCUAAAGACAUUUCUGGAUCAAAUUAGCAUGGUCUUAUGAUUUACGAUUUGUAUGAGAAUUCUCGAUCUACAUGAAAUCAAAUUGCAUGUAUGAGAAUUCUCUAAUAAGCUCGUAUAGGUGUUUAUAAAAACUUUUAUAUAGAUGCAUGUGCGUAUAUAUGCUAAUUGAUUGUGUUUCCCUUGGUUUCAGUCAUUGAAGUUCGACUUUGCCAAUAAUACAAAGAUCGAGAACAUAACAAGCCUCAACAGCAAGAACACCCACAUCAACUGUUUCGCAUGUCGUGAUGUGAUAUUCAGCAACAUUCACAUAACUGCCCCGGGCGACAGCCCCAACACCGAUGGAAUCAAGAUCGGUGAAUCAAGCAACAUCCAAAUACAUGAUUCAGUAAUAGCCACAGGAGAUGACUGCCUAGCUUUCCUUCCUGAUUCAAGAAACAUUUCCGUCACUCGUAUUCAUUGCGGACCUGGCCAUGGAAUCAGUCUUGGAAGCAUUUCCAGUAAAUCUAUUACUGGCUUGAGCGUAACGAAUUCGAGCUUGGUAGGUACUCAGAAUGGUGUUAGAAUCAAGACGAAGAGUCCCUCUCAACCAGGCAGUGUUUCAAAUGUUACAUUUCAACACAUUCAAAUGGAUAAGGUCGAUAACCCCAUAGUCAUUGAUCAACAAUAUUGCCCUGGUAGUGGUUGUACUGCCCCGGUAAGCAAUUAAACUGCUCAUCAUUUCUAUACUGCAGUUAACCGGGAGGAGUGAUUUUGGCCUCUAAAUUUAACUUACAGUACUUAAAUCACGUACUCUCUUUCAUUCACUGCAGAAAACUUCGGAGAUUCAGAUCACUGAUGUGAAGUACAUUGACAUUUGGGGUACUUCAAACACAGAAACUGCAGUUAAUUUCAAGUGUAGCGAAAAUAAACCUUGUACGAAGAUCGAGUUGAGGGAUAUCAACCUAAAUUACAGCGGAGGUCGACAGGCAAACGAAUCGUGUUUGAAUGCAAAAGGAGUAGCUUCCGGCAAAGAAUACCCUAAAUCUUACAGACCUAGUACGUACAGAUGACCUUCACAAGUACAGUAUAAUAACUCAUUUGAUCUUACUGUUCAUGAGAUUUAUGCAGUUAAUCGAUAAGCUGCAAUGUAAUCCUGCAUAAGUUCAAUGUCUUUGUCGGUAAGUACUACUUAGUUUUGUAUGUAAUAAGCACAGAUAUGAAAUAUGUGCAAAAAUAAAGUGAAUAUAUAACCAAAGAUCAUUAAACAUUGCUUCUGUUUUAUGCCUCGUAACAACAUAAAAAAGAUCGAUCACUUUCUUCCUUGAUCCUAUCCACUCACAACAUAAUGAAGAUGCAAUAUGAUAUUAACUCUAAGAUAGGGAUGUUAACUCAAUAAUUUCUCCUGAAAUAUUGUAACAUUCUUAUACAACAGAUCGUUUCUUACCCAAACUAGUUUUUGGGUAAGAAACUAGAAAAGAUGAAAUUUGAAGCAACAAGAAAUUUGACCAGAAAGUGAAGAAAAGGGAUAGAAGAUCGAUCAUGAUUGAUGAUGAUGAUGCUGUAUAAUUUUCAAGGAAAAAGUAAACACGUUCAUAUGAUUAUCUCUUUGAAUGGAAAUGGUGGAAAAAGCUACCAACGUAUAUAUAUACGCUUAGGCUUAGUUUGGUAUCGCAGCGAAAAUAAUCUGCUGUAAAAUAAAUCAACGAUUAAAAUAAACAGUAGUAAAUAAAAGCAAUUAUCUGUUUGGUAAUUUGUGCGUUUAAUAAGUUUUAGAUGAUAAAAAGCUAAUCAACACGUUUGGUAAUUUUUUCUGUGAAAGUACUGUAUGUGUGUAUAAUGACAAAUAUGCACAGGAUGCCAAACUUGUUCCUUGUAUUCUAUAUUUCUGGUAGUUCUGCGACAAAAAAAAAAAAAAAUUUUAAUUUGACAGGUUCCUUUGCCGCCACGUGUCGACCCUCUCAUCAUCUUUCUUGAUGAGCCAACCUCCGACCUCCGACUGCACCUCCGUCGGCGGCUAGAAGCUUGAUGUGCUGGGAGAGAGACUUAUGGUAUUUGACACAAAAGCCCUAACAGUUUUACCUUUAACAAGUAUUUUUACUGCUAACGGAAGUUAAAUGGAAUUCAAUAUGUGUGGACGAAAGCUGCCACGCGUCUCAGGACUUCUCUGGUGUACGGUACUGAGGCGUAGUCUAGCGCUUCCCGGAAAUGGUUCCAAAAUUCAGAGUCUACACGUUAUUGCUUAAACAAGCUAGUACUCGAUCUGGUUUAAACCGGUGACUCCUCGAUCAACUUUGAUUUGACUAAAUUUCUUGCUCUUUUGUGUAAUUGUGUUCCUCAUCUUACCAUUGCGUCACGCUUUGUAUAAGUGAUGUCAAUAAACUAGUCAGAGGUGUUUUUUCUUAUUUAAUGGAAGAUUUGGUGUGGUCUUAAUCAAGGUUCAUAGCAUCAAAUGCUAUUUGAUAUCAUGGAAAAGAUUGUGAUUAGUAAUGAUCAAUACUAGCUGUCAGUAUUAGUUCUGGUCUGUUGAUGAGGGGUCUAACAUAUCUAGAAGCAUGGAACAGUUCAUAUUAGACAAGGCCACGCAUGGGUACAUAUCAUUAUAGCAUUGGAACGUCAAAUAACUAUAGUGAUUAUUUGUGGUAUUUAACAUUAAUAUAGAACCAACGUAACAUAUGACAUUUCAGAAAAUUAGACCCUCUGUGCUACAGAUUUAGAAUGUACAGACUUAAAUAUGAUGGUGUUCGGGAAGUCGACAACGCUUGGCCUAGCAUAACCACUAGAUCUAUUGUAAGCUGUUAGAUUUAAGGUAAUGAAAAGAUAAAACACAAAAAAUAGUUUGCUUCUUCUUAUUUUGUCAAGACUUUAUUAAGCUUGAAACUUUGAAUUGCUUAAUGUUUAAUGUUAUUUUGUGUCCAAGUUGGUUUGAAAUUUUGGAAACCUGGAAUAUCUUUGCUUUCAUGGAAGUAUGUCUUAAAUUUCAGGCUAUUUUGAAUUGUUUAAUGCUUAAUGUUAUUUUGUGUCCAAGUUAGUUUAAAAUUUCGGAAACUUGGAUUAUCUUUGCUUUCAUGGACGUAUGUCUUAAAUUCCAGGCUUUCCGGAUCCCAAAAAAACCGAGAUCCGAUCCAAUUUUUUCGGAUCUGGAUCCAUUCGGAUAUUGUAUAUAAAACUGCAAAUCCGAUCCGAAAUAAUUAAAUAGUUCGGAUCACGGAUCCUAUUUUUUAAAAAAUGGAUCCAAUCCGAACACAGCCCUAAGUUAUUCACUUGUUGAUACUUAUAUGAUUGUUCGGUUUGGGAGGUAAAAUUGAUUGUUAUUUGAGAUUACAUCAAUUUUGUUUUCUACGUCAACUCUUGUAUAUUUCUUUCUUCUUUCGCAAAUAAAAGAUAAUGAAGAAAGUUAGAAACUUCCACACAAUACUCAUAUAUAGACAAUAGGAAAGAAGAAAAUUAAAAAUUGAAAUACCUCCAAUUAUAUGAUUCUUGUAUCCUACAGCUAAUGCAACAACAUCAACUUUGAUGAAAAAGUUCCCUUCAUUAGUAAAAGACUUGAAACCUACAUCAAGAUUUUCUCCCUAAGAAGUUGCCUGUCACAUAUCAUGAAGCAAAUGCAGAAUAAUAUUUGCAUAAGCAUGACCCAUGGAUCCCCUAAGCCAUUGCCUUUCUUGUCCACAACAUCACCCCAACGUCAUAGUGACUUCAUUCGCAGAGGUUUGAAUUUAGUAAAGUCCCUGGAGCUCAAGCAAAGAACAACGUCAUGCCCCAUGAUCCGGUUCUUUAUUGGCCGCCCACAACAUUUCACUUUGACCUUCCAUAAAGAAUACCAAUUGUCUCUAUCUCUCUCUGCUAGUACUAUAUAUACGGCACCAGAGAUCUUCCAUUGUCAUCACAUUUACACAAGUUUUUCAAAUUUUCAAUCAAAGUUUCUGAACAAGUACUAGUUGCUAUACUGUUGUUGAUCAUAUAAAUUAAGAAGAAUAUGUCUGGGACAGAAGUUUCACUCGGUUUUGAAGGACGAGCUGUGGUGAGCAAGUUCUUGGCCAGGCCUCAGCAUGAAGGAGUUGGUGCCAUUGUUAGAAGAAGCAUUGGGAGGUAAUUAGUCAUACCAUUAUAACUUAUAAGCAGAAAUAUUAGUCUCGUUUUCGACUUUUCGCUACCUGAAUGGAAGAUUGUUGAUUCAAUGCCUCAAUGGGUUGUUGUUACUGCGUUUGUGUAGGUUUGAUCUGGGAUACUUUGAUCCUUUUCUUGUUCUGGAUGAGUUCUCAGGUGGGUACCUCUCUGUUUUCCUCUGUUUCUUCAUGAAUGUAAUGGCAGUGCUAAAUUCUAAUGUAUAGAUGCUGAUACUGCCUUUGAUAUUUAUAUGUGCAGUUACAGCUCCUGCUGGUUUUCCUGAUCAUCCACACCGAGGUUUUUGUCACUGUACUUGUAAAUUGUAAUUAGCCUAUCUCGUUCAGAUUAAUGUGGUUUGGAUUCUGAUUUCUUUUUCUUGUUUUUCCAUUUGGAUUUUGACAGGGUUUGAGACAGUGACCUACAUGUUGCAGGUAUAUAAAGUAUUCAUGAUUGUCUAUAGUAUUGGGUUGUAAUUAGUCUUCAAGUGGUUAUUUGCUGUAAAUGUGUACAUCCAGCUAGCUUUCUUAUAAUAUCUGGUAACUUAAGGGUAGUUGGACAAGAAAUGAUACUUAAACCAUGCAUAUACUUAAUUUGAAAUUGUUUGGAUCAUCAGGGAGCCAUCACACAUGAAGAUUUUGAAGGGCACAAAGGGACGAUCGGAGCCGGCGAUGUGCAGUGGAUGACUGCAGGUAGAGGUAUCGUUCACUCGGAAAUGCCUGCAGCCCAAGGAACCCAAAAGGGUCUACAGUUGUGGAUAAACCUUUCCUCCAAACAUAAAAUGUAAGCAUCUUCUUCUUAAUUAUCUUCAUCUAAUAUCCACAUCUUUUCGAUCAUAUCUAACUUUUCGAUCUUAUAUCCAUAUCUUGACAGUUCAGUUUAUAUGUAUUUAUGAGUAGAUCAUUUCUGCAAAUUUUCAGCCAUAUUGAAAAUUCUUAAGACAUUCAUAAGUGUGAUUUACCAAUUAUGAACUUGAAUGAUUAAUAUUUGACAGGUUUGCUUCGUUUAUUAAUUUGAUCUAGUUUGUUACCUUAACGAACACCAAUUUGGCUGAAAAUUUGUAGAAAUGAUCUACUCAUAUAGACCUAAAAACUGAACGGAUAAGAUGUCAAAAUAUAAUCGAAAAAUAGGUUUUUAAAUCAUAAACAAAAAAAUCCUCAACUAGGCCUUAACUUAAAGGUCUCACUAAAAGAGCUCCCUUAUCUUCGUAUCGGAUAAAUGUGGCAUGUAUAUUUUGGAAUGAGCAUAGGCAAAUUUUCAAAGAGAUAUAUAGCAUAUGAUUGGCCUUCAUGCAUGGGAUAUAUGCUCAGCUGCUUUUGGGUGCACCAAGGGCACAUUUUGUGUAUGUGUUUGUCUUUGAAUCUACUAGCCGGAAAUAUCUAGCCUAGGGACCUUUAAAUAAAACUAUAUGACUUUGUACUCAUAUCAUAGUGGCCAAAGAAUCUUGUGUAAUAUAUCCUAUGCUAGUGCUGCUUCCUUUUCACUUUUGAAAACCUUAAGAAGUUUUGAUAACUAGAACUAACGCUUUCAUAGUGUAACAUCAUUAGCUUUCAAAACCAUUUCUCUUUUCAAAUUCCAAUCAAGUGGUAGUUUAGUACCCUUGCAGUUGAUUAAGCUUUUGUUAAUUAUAAAGAAUUGUGCAAUGUGUUUAACACAGGAUUGAGCCAAAAUACCAAGAAAUGGUGAGCAAGGACAUUGCAGAGGCUACAAAAGAUGGGAUCAAGGUUAGAGUGAUAGCAGGAGAAGCCUUGGGAACAAAGUCACCAAUUUACACAAGAACCCCAACCAUGUACUUGGACUUCACUCUCAAACCAGGAGCUCACCUUCAGCAACCAAUAUCAGUAUCAUGGAAUGCAUUUGUAUAUGUCUUGGAGGGGGAAGGUAUUUUUGGAACUUCAAAGUCUAUGCCAGUGGCAGGUCACCACCUUCUUGUUCUAGGAUCUGGGGAUGGAUUGGAGGCAUGGAACAAGUCUUCCAAGAACCUUAGGUUUAUAUUAGUUGGAGGCCAACCUUUGGGGGAGCCUGUAAAGCAACUUGGUCCCUUUGUGAUGAACACAGAUGAAGAGAUUGAUCAAACCAUUGAUGAUUUUGAAAAUUGUGUCAAUGGAUUUGAGAAGGCAACACACUGGAGAUCUGGAUCUGCACUGAACCUUGAUUUUUAGAUCUUGUUAAUUGUAUUAUUUGAGAGAUUAUCUAUUGAUUUAUUUUGGAAGAGGGAUUUAAAUGCUGUUAAACAAUAAGCAUGCAUGUACUGUUCAAACUUCAAAGUAUAUCUUCUUCUUUGUUGCUUAAAUUAAUCCACAAGAAACCCAGACAGUCAAAUUUGAUUAGCCAAAAACAAAAUUACAAUAGUCAAUGGCCUGUUAGCAAGUGGAAUUAUGGCACUCAGCUCUCCUAUAAAAGAUGGCAGCUGCAAUGUUUCAGAUACCACAGCUUCUCAAGAAAUGGCACAACUCAAGAACAAACUUGAAGACAAGGUGGCAAUAGUCACGGGUGGCGCCAGCGGCAUUGGUGAAGCCACCGCGCGCCACUUUGCAUUGUAUGGUGCACGCGCGGUGGUUAUCGCCGACGUCCAGGACCAGAAAGGUAAUGACGUCGCCGCUUCGAUAGGUCCUCACUGCACCUACGUCCGCUGCGACGUUACAGACGAGGAUCAAGUGAAGAGCCUGGUCGACUCAACUGUCCAGAUGCACGGCCGCCUGGACAUCAUGUUCAGCAACGCCGGAGUAUUCAGCUCGUCCGAGCAGACCGUGCUGGAGUUUGACUUAUCCAACUACGAGAAGCUCAUGGCGGUCAACGUACGUGGGAUGGCGGCGUGUCUGAAGCACGGGGCGAGGGCCAUGGUGGAAGGUAGAGUUAAGGGGAGCGUGAUAUGCACCGCGAGCGUUGCGGCCAAUACCGGAUUAGAGUAGUUCACAGAGUACAGCAUGUCGAAACACGCCAUUCUGGGUCUGAUCAGGUCGGCAAGUAUCCAGCUCGGCACGUAUGGGAUACGCGUUAACUGCGUCUCGCCGGGACCUGUUCAUACGCCACUCCUGAACUCGUUCCUUGCCUUCAACGCUGUGGAGAUAACCAAGUUAUCGGCGGCGUCAGGUGAUCGGCAUGAGAUUAUGUCGCCAGAUAAUGUGGCUAACGCAGUCGUGUUCUUGGCUUCUGACGAUUCUCAGUUUGUAUCCGGUCACAAUCUCGUCGUCGAGGGUGGGCUGAAAGCUUGAUAUGAAUCCCAAAUGAAUUGAACGAUUAUACUUUUCCUUCUUUCUUAUUAUUCAAGGAAAAUAGACAACAACACAAACCAAUUUCUAAUUAAACAUAUAGGUAAGCAGUGAUGUAUUCAAAAGCGUAUAAAAUUCAAAUUCAAGAUAAUGAUUUCUGAGGCAUACAAAUCAUUCUAGAACUAUUAUUGUGAAGGAUCCAUACCAUCAACAACAACAGAAACUAGGGCCUGAGAUCUACGGUAAUAUGCAAAUUUAAGGAGUAUAUAUUGUCGAACUUACUCCUAAAAUAAUGUUUGUGAUGCAUAGUAAAAAUUGUAACUAAUGGCCUAUUUGGACCAACGUACCCUGCGAAGUAAGAAGUAAAUCUCCCAAAAGAUAAUGAGAAAUUGAUCGAAUCAGUUGUUGAGGCUAACACGUGACAAGUGUAGUCUUGCAAUAUUAAGAAAAACGAAAAAAGAAGGGUUGAAGUGUUGAACAUAAAAGAACUCAAGACUAUUUAUUUUCUUUGGAUCAAAUGUUUACUCAGACUUGGGAACCAGGUCCUUUUUUGCAAUAUCAAAUGUUAUAAACUAAGAAAUGAGAGAGAUAGAAUGUAGGAGGAGAAAAAAGUGUAUAGUUCAUUCUCAUUAGACCAUUUAUAUAACACUAGUGUUUACAUCGUAAGGACAUAUAUAACUAAUGAGUAAUUAUGUGAACAACCAUAUAUAUAUAUAUAAUAUUUACAAAAAACGUCGAGUUCUGAUAAUAUUUAUGAAGUAGGGAAUGAGUACCCCAUAAUACAUUGAUGUGUUUACAUUGAUGUAAACACUGCAAAAGUAGCCAAACUUGUUCUUAUAUGCAAAAGCAGACACCUAUAUAUCCUAUCAACAAUUGCAUAAAGAGAUAAUAAUGUUGACUAACAAACAUUAUAAUUAUUAUGUAUUGGAAACUUCUGUAUACCGUUCGGUAUAGAAUACAUGCUAAUUAAUAUUCCAUGAUAAAAUCUCUUCAACCAACCACCACUCCUGUUCAGCCUCCCUUUAGUCAGAUAUAUGUUAUACAGAACGGUAUAGCACGCAAACCCUUAUGUAUUAGAGGGUACGCGAAGCAACAGCCCAUUGCGUCUUUGGAUCGUAACCGCAGGCUCUGCUUAGUUGGCUAGGUUUUUGGAGAGCGACUCUCUAGGGUAGCUAUUCGAGCUCGAUGCUUUUACACUGUUUACAGUUAGGCAAGUGUUGUUGAGGUAGUUGCAUGCAAUCGAUCCUCUAGGACAUGAUAGGCGCAGGGUGACGUUGAAAAUUAAGGUGACCUUUAGUAUGUCCUUGACAACCGUCCCUAGUCUUUUCAAGGACAAAUUUUUGCUCGAAGAUGGACUCCCAACUUCAAUCCAGCUCGGGCUCAACUGACCUCUCUGAUUGUGUGGGUGAGACUCCCUUUUCUUCCUAUUCAUUUGUGGAAUCGUGAUGAUCUGAUUUACAUUGCUUCCCAACAUGGUACAUACCUACAUUAAAAUUGACCCAGAAACUUUAGAAGGCACUAGAUCUAUGCAUGCUGGGGUUUGCAUUGACAUGAAGCUUGAACUAGCUUGGCUAGUGAAAUUCAUGUUUUUCCUGACCUUGAUGCGGAUGAGCUUUCUGUCAUUCAUCUUAACUAUGAAACACUACUUGAAUCAUGUUUCUAUUGUGGUUGUCUCGACCACCCUGUUGGUCAAUGUACUGAUCGAACUGCUCGACGUCACUUCAUCAUGGUUAAUCAUCUCAAUGGAGGAGCUGCUGCAUAUCCAUCAACAGUCACUCUUGAGGAAGAACUUUCCAAUAUGGUCCAGCCUGGAUUGAUGCUCAUUUUCCCCCAUGCAAGAACCCCCAAUGCUGACCCAAACAUGGUUCCUCCUCCUGAACCACAUGCUAUUAGACUAAAUGAUGCAACAACCAAAUACAUCCAGAUCAAAUCACAACAACAUGAACACACAUCUCAUAUCAGUAAGAUCAACAAGAUUAGAACACUAACUUGAUGACAGGUUCAUUGAGGUCGACAUCUUGCAAUAUCAGCUGCACUUAGAACCAAGCGUUAAGCCUUAUGCACUUCAACACUUAUAACGUUAGUAUGGGACUAAAGCUGAAUGUAAGCAUGUUGAGUAUAGGGGCUUCUCCUUGUAUAUAUAUCGGCCAGUUAACUAGAUAAGAGACUUAUCCCAUUAGGAGUCUAAUAUCUGCUUAAUAGUUAUCAAGAUAAUCUAAAACUUAUCAUAACUCCUAAGAUUAAUCAGGUAAUUAACAUAAUGAGUAUCCUACUUCUGUUAGGAGAUACAACCUUAACAGAUAACCAGAAAAUAGAGUUAUAUAUAGUCAUGUAUUUCUUGUUAUUUGUAUUUAGCCAAAUCAAUUGUAUUUAUCUUAAUGUUAAGGUCUAAUAUUUUCUAACAUUCUCCCACUAGACUUAACACAUACUACAUGACAACAAUUGAACCAAUAACUCAAGACAAACAACAAAUGAAGUGUGCACUGAAAUACACAAGAACUCAGAACUCAUUCAGCUUGGUCAAUUAAAGCAUAUAGUGCAGAAUUCAAGACCAUGUUGAUUUAGAAAAACCAGAUGAUUGAGAACCACUAACACCACACACAGUAACCACGUAAGCUGCAGUGAUAACUAGAGCAAAUCAAAGAUAAGUAUAUCUACCUGAAACAUCUUUUGCUCAUACCCCAAAUGAAUGAUUUCAUAUGAAAUCUCAGCAGAAAUUCUGAAACACCAUUGAGCUCAUGUUCUGCCUUUACUGAACUGCAAUUUCUUAAUGCAUGAAGGAGCUCACCUGAUAACACACAUAUUAUAUGAAAAUAUGUAAAUUUCAAAAUCGACACAAUGGAAUACAAUCUGAAAUACCUCAUUUUAUUAAUAUCUUGCUGAAUCAAAAUUACAAUCAAAUUUGAAACAGAAUGACUAAACAAGGAAACUAAUACACUAAUAUAAAAUUCUAACUUUGCAUAGCUCCCACUGAGCUCAUGAAUACAAAUUUUCCAAAACUCCCAUAUUCUUGGUAUGUUGCUGAAACUUCACAAUUGGCAAGGCUUUAGUAAAAGGGUAUGCAAACUGUGUUUCAGUAUCAAUAUCUAAAACACUAAUUUCACCACAUUUAACUCUUUGUCUCACACUGUAGAAUUCGAGAUCUAUAUGUUUGGAGUUAUUUGACCUUUUACUAUUUUUGCUGAAAAACACUAGAGCCUCAUUAUCACAGUAAAUUUUAAGUGCAUCUGAAACAAGUGAACUUAAGACUUCAGUAUACAACAAAAAAUUUCUAAUCCACAGUCCUUGACAGACUCCUUCAUAUGCAGCAAUAAAUUCAGCCUGCAUUGUGGAUGUUGAUAUGAGUUUUUGUUUUACAGUUUUCCAAGCUAUAGCCCCACCAGCAAGCAUAAAUACAUACCCAGAAGUAGACUUGUUAGAGUCUUGAAAGUUGCCAGCAAAAUCCGAGUCAGUAUAACCAACUAACUCAAGAUUAUUAACCUAUCUAUAAACCAAACUAUAACCUUUAGUUUUCUACAAAUACCUAAGCAUCUUUUUUCCUACAACCCAAUGCUCUUGUGUGGGAUUGGAUUGAAACCUAGAUAAGAUACCUACUGAAAAUGCCAAGUCAGGCCUGGUACAGGUCUGAGCAUACAUUAGGUGGCCAAUAAGUUGAGCAUAAGGUUUGCUCUCUAUGGCAACUAUCUUCCCCCUAUUUUUAGUAAUCUUAUUUCUGUUUUUGGUCAGUUUGUCUCCUUUUGAAAUAGGAGAGUCACCUAAUGCACAUGUUUCCAUAUUAAAUCUCUUAAGAACUUUUGUGAUAUAGUUCAAUUGAGAUAAACCUAAUAAACCUUGUGCUCUGUCCCUAAUUAUUUCAAUCCCUAAAACAUAAGACGCCUCACCUAAAAAACCCUAAAUCUUUCAUGUCAAAGUUACUUGGCAGAAAGUUUUUAGUUUCCUUAAGCAAUUUUACAUUGCUGCUAGCUAGAAGAAUAUCAUCUACAUACAGUAUUAGGAAAAUAAAAUUAUACCCAACUGUCUUAAUGUAUACACAUUCAUCGACAAUGUUUUCAACAAAGCCGAAGCUUGAAAUUACUGAAUCAAACUUCUUAUACUAUUGUCUAGAAGCUUGUUUUAAUCCAUAAAUGGAUUUCUUAAGUUUGCAUACAUAUUCUUCUUUCCCUGGCAUUACAAAACCUUCGGGCUGCCUUAUAUAGAUUGUUUCAUCUAACUCUCCAUUCAAAAACGCAGUAACGCAGUUUUUACAUCCAUUUGGUGUAAUUCCAUAUUAUAAUGUGCUACUAGAGCCAUUGUAAUUCUAAAUGAGUCUUUAGUUGAAACUGGAGAGAAAGUUUUUGUAUAGUCUAUGCCCUCCUUUUGUGUAAAACCCUUAGGAACUAGUCUGGCCUUAUGUCUUUCUAUAUUCCCUUUUGCAUCUCUUUUGGUUUUAUAGACCCAUUUACAGCCUAUUGGUUUUUGGUUUGGAUUUUGCUUUACUAAAUCCCAGACUGCAUUAUCACUCAUCGACUUCAUCUCAGCUUCCAUAGCUUCCUGCCAUUUCUCUACUUCUUCAGUUUUUAAAGCUUCUUUGUAACUCUUUGGAUCAUCAUCUUCAUCUAGUACAUCUGUUUCUUGCAAGUACACCACAUACUCACUAUCUUCCCCAUAAACUGGUUUUCUUUGUCUCUCAAAUCUUCUAGGUUGAGGAUUUUCAGCAAUUGGUUGGUCUACUGCAUUAGGUUGAUCAAAAACCAUGUCAUCUAUAGGUUCAGGUUGUAGAGGUUCAUCUACUUAAGGUUGUGUUGGUUCUGGCUCUAUUGGAUUUUGAUAUAGAAACUGAUUUUCUGUAAAUACAGUAGAAGCUCUAUGAGUUUGAUCUAAGGGUAUAUUGUACUGAAUGUCUUGAUCCUCAACAAUUUCUGUAAGUUCUGAAGAAAAAUCUUCAUAAACAUUGUUAUUAACACCUUCAUCUAGAAAUUUUGCCUGACUAGUUUCAAAAGUUCUAGUUGAGUUAUGAGGUGUAUAAAAUUUAUAUCCCUUAGAUUUUUCACAAUAGCCUAUGAAGUUAUAGCUGAUUGUUUUGGACUUUAACUUACCUGUUAACUCAUUUGGUAUUUUUGCCUCAGCUUUGCAUCCCCACACAUGAAUGUGAUGCAAACUGGGCUGUCUACCACACCAUAAUUCAAAUGGUGUCUUUUCUACUGAUUUGGAGGGUGACCUAUUGCAAACAUAGUUUGCAGUCUUAAGUAUCUCUCCCCAUAAGAAAACUGGUAAACAUGCAGUGCACAUCAUGCAUCUUACCAUGUUUAAUAAAGUCUUAUUCUUUCUCUCUGCUACUCCAUUUUGUUAGGGGUUAUAUUGGGAGUUGAAUACUACUCCAUUUUGUUGGGGGUUAUAGGGAGUUGAAUACUGAGUCUCAAUGCCAUUUUCCUGAAGGAACAAUGCAAAAUGUCCCUUAUGGUGGCCCGCUUCAGUAUGUCUACCAUAGUACUCUCCACCCCUAUCAGAUCUCACUACUUUAAUUUUCUUUUCAAGCUGUAAUUCUACUUUAGUUUUGUAAAUUAUGAAUGCUUGAAGAGCUUGUGAUUUUUCUGAUAACAUAUAGAUAUAGCAGUACCUAGAGAAAUCAUCUAUAAAGGUUAUGAAGUAAACAUUUCCACAUAUAGUUUUAUGCUUAAAAGGUCCACAAAUGUCUGUAUGAAUUAGUUCUAAGAGAUUCUAACUUCUAGUUGCCUUUUAAUUACUGAAUUUAGUCAUUUUUCCCUUACAACACUCCACACAAUCAGUCAUAUCAGAAUAGUCUAAAUCUGUAGGUAAAAGUUUAUUUUUCUAAAGUGUUUUGAGUCUUUCUUUUGAAAUGUGGCCUAGUCUCCUAUGCCACAAGUUUGCAGACUGCUGAUUAUAAAGGAUUUUGUUAGUUCUAGUGAUCUUAUUGCUGUGAUUCUUAAUGUUUUCAUUAUUUUCAAUUAACAGAAUUUUUUGUUGUGCAACAGAACAAUUUAAUUGCAAAUAAUCAUUAUUGAAAACACCACAACCAAUAUAUUCAGAAUCCUGAAAAAGCUUUAUUCCUUUCAUAUCAAUGGAAAGUCUACAACCAUACUUAACCAAAAGAGAAACAAAAAUUAAAUUCCUCUUGAGNNNNNNNNNNNNNNNNNNNNNNNNNNNNNNNNNNNNNNNNNNNNNNNNNNNNNNNNNNNNNNNNNNNNNNNNNNNNNNNNNNNNNNNNNNNNNNNNNNNNNNNNNNNNNNNNNNNNNNNNNNNNNNNNNNNNNNNNNNNNNNNNNNNNNNNNNNNNNNNNNNNNNNNNNNNNNNNNNNNNNNNNNNNNNNNNNNNNNNNNNNNNNNNNNNNNNNNNNNNNNNNNNNNNNNNNNNNNNNNNNNNNNNNNNNNNNNNNNNNNNNNNNNNNNNNNNNNNNNNNNNNNNNNNNNNNNNNNNNNNNNNNNNNNNNNNNNNNNNNNNNNNNNNNNNNNNNNNNNNNNNNNNNNNNNNNNNNNNNNNNNNNNNNNNNNNNNNNNNNNNNNNNNNNNNNNNNNNNNNNNNNNNNNNNNNNNNNNNNNNNNNNNNNNNNNNNNNNNNNNNNNNNNNNNNNNNNNNNNNNNNNNNNNNNNNNNNNNNNNNNNNNNNNNNNNNNNNNNNNNNNNNNNNNNNNNNNNNNNNNNNNNNNNNNNNNNNNNNNNNNNNNNNNNNNNNNNNNNNNNNNNNNNNNNNNNNNNNNNNNNNNNNNNNNNNNNNNNNNNNNNNNNNNNNNNNNNNNNNNNNNNNNNNNNNNNNNNNNNNNNNNNNNNNNNNNNNNNNNNNNNNNNNNNNNNNNNNNNNNNNNNNNNNNNNNNNNNNNNNNNNNNNNNNNNNNNNNNNNNNNNNNNNNNNNNNNNNNNNNNNNNNNNNNNNNNNNNNNNNNNNNNNNNNNNNNNNNNNNNNNNNNNNNNNNNNNNNNNNNNNNNNNNNNNNNNNNNNNNNNNNNNNNNNNNNNNNNNNNNNNNNNNNNNNNNNNNNNNNNNNNNNNNNNNNNNNNNNNNNNNNNNNNNNNNNNNNNNNNNNNNNNNNNNNNNNNNNNNNNNNNNNNNNNNNNNNNNNNNNNNNNNNNNNNNNNNNNNNNNNNNNNNNNNNNNNNNNNNNNNNNNNNNNNNNNNNNNNNNNNNNNNNNNNNNNNNNNNNNNNNNNNNNNNNNNNNNNNNNNNNNNNNNNNNNNNNNNNNNNNNNNNNNNNNNNNNNNNNNNNNNNNNNNNNNNNNNNNNNNNNNNNNNNNNNNNNNNNNNNNNNNNNNNNNNNNNNNNNNNNNNNNNNNNNNNNNNNNNNNNNNNNNNNNNNNNNNNNNNNNNNNNNNNNNNNNNNNNNNNNNNNNNNNNNNNNNNNNNNNNNNNNNNNNNNNNNNNNNNNNNNNNNNNNNNNNNNNNNNNNNNNNNNNNNNNNNNNNNNNNNNNNNNNNNNNNNNNNNNNNNNNNNNNNNNNNNNNNNNNNNNNNNNNNNNNNNNNNNNNNNNNNNCCGAACUCUGCAGACUGGGCAAUUUAAAACGAAGGGCCCAGGGGAAAACAUUUAAUAACGUUAGAGUGAGUGGACAAAAAUAAAAUAAUAAAUAAAAUAUUUAUGUUUCCCCAAAUUAAUUUCUAAGGAAAAAUCGAAUGCAUGCCGCAAGCGAUAAAACUUUUAUCCCAUAAAUGUCGAGCCUCUCAGGCUCUAUAAUAUAUGUAUGUAUUUACACACGUCCAUACUCCCUAUAUAAAUUCAUGGGUCUAUAUAGGGCUACUACGCUCGCGUCCAACGCUCACGUCACGCCUUAAUGCGGUGCUACACUACGCCAUUAAGGUGGACAGACGGAUGUAUAAAUAUGUGCCCAUACCCCCUAUAUGAAUUAAACACUCAUAUAGGGCUACUACGCUCACGUCACACCAUAAUGCGGCUAUAUGCUACGCCAUUAAGGUGGACAGACACAUAUGGCUAGCUAGCAUUUUCUAUACAUACUCUCUCAUAAAUACAUAUUUAUCUCCACCGAAAAUCUCAUUUUCGGUAUCUCUCCAAGAGAAAUAAAAAUCGUCAAAAAUUAAAAUGACGUCAAAAUACUCCACGACAUUAAUUGUUCAACCAUGAACUAUAGCAUGCAUUUAUUUAAAAUAAACGUCCACUCACAAAUUUGGCCUAAGCCUGAUGUCGAUCUGGGGCCUCGUCUGCUCGAGCCUCCUCACGUCCUGUUCCAAAUAUAAUAUUAAUUUCCCAACCAAUAAUCCAAUAUUUAAUCAAAAUAGGCAAAAUUACCCGAGAGCCAUAAAUACGCUCAUCAUUGCCUAACUUCGAUAAUCUUAAAUCGGAACAAUCCGAACUUAAAUAUCAUACUCAACAGUCGUAAAUACAACCUCUCCAAAAUACGACUUAAAUCAUACGGCCGGAUUCUACAUUAAUUAACCGCCAAAAAUACCAAACUUCGGAAAUUCACAAACCUAUCCAAAUCUCAUCCAAAAAUUCCAUAAAUCACAUCAAUAUACUCCUCUUAACAUUCCACACUUAAAACCCUAAAAAUCUCCUAACCGGCGGCGGCGCCGCCGGCGGCUCCGCCGGCAGCGGCGGUCGGAGGCCAAUUCCGGCGACCUCCAAAACCUAUGAAAUUUUGACAGAAUAAUCCUCUCAUCAAGCUCUACAACUUUC
RNAcentral lists this long non-coding RNA (83559 nucleotides) under Fragaria vesca (wild strawberry). RNAcentral describes it as "long non-coding RNA (FVES_LNC001378)". The record is from RNAcentral. Lineage: Eukaryota; Viridiplantae; Streptophyta; Magnoliopsida; Rosales; Rosaceae.